AUUCCAUAUCUUUUAAUAUUUUGAUUUUUUCAUGUUAUUCCAAAUAUUUUCUCAUAUUUUAUGUGCAUCUUUCUUCAUUUGGUAUUUAAUCCAGUUUUCAAUGUGCAAUAAAUGCGAAUAUUUUAGUCAAAUUUGUAUAUAUUUUUUAUUUUUAAAUUAUUUGCAUAACCUUAAACAUCAAAAUAUAUGAAACAGAGAGGUAUGUUUUAAUUAUAUUCUCCACUAAUCAACAAAAUGUCAAAAUCAAUCAAGGAUUGUUUCCCUUGUCUAUACCACAAACAUCUUCAUAAUAAAAUUUAUUUCUUUAUCUUUAAAUAUAUCAACUUAUCUACAACUCUCUUAUGGUAUUGUUGAUAUUGUUAGAUGAUGGACAUGAUAAUAUAUUAUUUUGGGGAUGAAAAUUGAUGUCCAUUGAAGUUAGUACAACCUUAAUUAAAUAAUAGAGUACUUAUAUAUUAUUAAUUUAUUAUAACUUUAACUAUUUGGAGAGCAAAUGUAAUUACAUAAUGUCUAUUAUGACUUUUCACAUGUCUUUAUGAUUGUUAAUGACCAAAUCUUUAUAAUUAAAGAUAUUCAAUAUAUGUUUACAUAAAAUCUGUUGAAAAAGAAAAUGAAAGUAUCAAACAUCCUAUGAAAUCAUUGACUUGACUAUUUUAGUCGCUAAAAUUUAUAGUUGAAUUAAUUGCCAGAAUAAUUGUUAUAUUUGUGGAGUUUAGAGUAGAUGAUUUUGAAAAUGAUAAUAACAAUCAUGUUUUAAGAAAAUAAAAAUAUAGAAAUGAAAAUUGUUUUUGAAAAUGAAAAUAGGAAAUAGAAAUAUGAAACAUUUAUUGAAACCAAACACACUCUAAGGAUGUGAUUGCUUUAGUCAUUUUCUGUUUUUCUUUUUCAAUGAAAACAAAAAAUGACUGUGAAAACAUGUUUGUCUUUCUGUUUUCAUUUCAUAUUUCAGAAAACAGAAACUUCAUUUUCGGAAACAUUGAAAAUAAAAAAAAAUCAUUUCCAACAUUUUCAAGAAUGAUGCAAUGAUAUUUCCUUGAAUUUUUAAACAUGUCUUUUUGAUUCAUUUGUUUCAUAUAUUUUAAUGUUUUAACUUUUUUAUGUUAUUCCAAACAUUUUAAUGUUUUAGAAACACAAUACACAUUUAUAUUUUAGUUUUCAACUAUACUCUUAUGUAUUAGUCUUCUUUACACUACAAAUUUCUUCGUUAUUUCUUAAUACAAUUUCCAAGGUGCAUUAUAUAUAAUUAUUUUAGACAAAUUAUAUCGGUUUUUUAUAUCACUUAAUAAUUGUUUAAAGUAUGUACACAAUUUUAAACAUCAAAUGAUAUUAAUUUCUUCACUAAUCAACAAAAUACCAAAAUCAAUUGUUGAGUAUCUCCAAACUACAAUACAUCUUUAUAACAUAAUUUAUUUCUUUACUCUCAACAUGAUAACUUUUUCCGUCUUUCUUAUAAUAUUGUUGAAAUAGUUCGAUGAUGAGUAUGAUAAUAUAUGAUUUUGAUAUAAAAAUUGUUGUUCAUUGAAGUUAUUGCAACCUUACUUAAAUAAUAGAACACUUGUAUGCUACUAAUUUAUUUUAACUUUUUUGUAGAGCACUUGCAACUGUAUGAUGUUCUUUAUGACUUUCCACAGGUCUUUGUGGUAGCUAAUGACUAAGUCCAGUAAUUAAAAGUGAUCAAUAUAUUGUUGACAUAAAAUCCAUUAAAAAAAUACAAAUAUCAAAUAUGAAGGCAUCCUAUGAUAUUAUUAGUUUGACCACUUUAGUGAUAGAAAUUUAGAAGUUUAAUUAAUUACAAAGGCAAGUAUCCUGGUUUAUGAAGUUUACGGUGAAUGAUUUUGAAAAUGAAAAUGAUAAUAACAAACAUAUUUUUAGGAAAUGAAAAUAUAAAAACAAAAAUAUUUUGAAAAAUAAAAAUAGGAAAUAGAAACAGAAAACAUAUCUUAAAACCAAACACACCCUAAGAUACCAACAAAGUGUUAGUAUAAUAGUGUAACCUUGCUAGAUUUCUUGGAUGACCAACAUGUUAACGGUUCGAUUCCUAGUGCGAUACUUGUUAAGAUGAGUAACCAUGUACUCCAAAAAUAAUUAAUUUCUCACUCAAAUUGUGAGAGAAUACUAUUGGUAGUACAAAAAACACACUCUAAGACGUUAUGCAUGUUUGUAUUUUUUUUUCAACUUCUCAAAGUGGACUUAAAAAAAAGAAAAAUGUUGAGAAGAUUGUAUGGGCUACUCAGUCUUCAUAAUUGGCCCAAAAAAUAAGUGGAUUUUGGUGAAAAGGGAAUAAAUUAGUGAAAAUGUGUAAUUAUGUUUAUCUUUGAUUAUAUGUUAUGAUCUAUCUAUAAUUGGAUACAAAACUGAAAAAUGACUUUAAAGUAAUUUGGUUCGUUCAGAUACUGUAGAAAGUUUAUAUAGGAAGUAAAUUAAAUUAAAUAUAUAGAGUUUUUUGUUUAUGUUAUUAAUAUCUCUUUACACUUUUUUAGAUUUAUUUGUUUCAAUCCUUAUCAUUUAUUGUAUUUUUAUUAUAAGCAAUAAUGGAACAAAUUUUAUAAUUUUUUACUUAUCAUGACACAUGCGAAAUAAAAAUAUUUAUGGAACUCACAUAUUCCCAUGAAAAAUGUUGAAUUUUCCAACUAUAUCAGUGUUAGCAUGGAUGUGGCAUAUCCCACUCACAUGAACACAUUAGUUUACAAAGUGCAUUUAAAAUAAAAUUUUAAUAAUUAAAUAUAUUUUAUGAAAUGAUACACUUUUGUAGGACAUAACAUAUUCACCCUUCUACACACUAACCAUUUUACAAAAUUAUAAUAUGAUAUUAAAUAUAACUUAGUACAAAUCGGAAACGUGAUAGGAUCAUGAAUUAGAAGACGUGUGUAAUGGAAAAAAUGAAGUUGUGAAAGGGUAAAACGGGAAAAAUAAAAUAUUAUUAAAAGAUAAUCCUCCUAAAAGCUUAUUCUGUUAAAAAUUAAGUUUCUACUAUAAUUUAACAUAGUUACCUAAACAAACUUAAGUUAUACAGGAAGUUUAUUUUAAAAAAAUAAGUUUUAAUUAUAUGUCUAAACUAUACCAAAUAUUUUUAAUUAAUAUAGUUAUAAGUUAUAAGUUUUAAUCAAUAUAGUUUUUAUUAUAUUUCCAUGUGACCAAUUUUUUGGCUUUAGAUAAUAUUUAUAUAAUACCAUUUAUAACUCCACGUCUUUGUCUCGAUCAUACACAUUCCUUGGAUGGAAAAACAUCAUUUCAAUGAAUUCUCCAAAAAAAAAAAAAGUUAGUUUUCAAAUACUACCUAACUUUCUAUAAGUAAAGUUGCCAUUAUCAAGCAAAUAGAUGAAGUUUAGUAAUGUUCCCAAAAAAGUGAAUUUGAAGCCAUCCCACCCAAUUUACCCCUUCAGUCACGGCAAGCCAAACCCCCUUACAAAAAGACACAUAACCCUUGUGUUCUACCCUUAUAACCCCUUCUCUCUCUUCACCAACAAUAAGAACCCCUCACCACUCACACAUCACAACUCACCCACCUGAACCCAUUUCUGAUAAUCUAUACAUUCAUAAAUAUAAAAGUUUUUUAUAUAAACAAUGUAUUAUCCAUCAUUCAUUUUUAAUAAUAUUAACUCUAAAUGAAAGUAAUUCAUAUAAAUAGUGAAUAAUAAAUUGAUUAUGUAUAAAUUUUACAUUGUUAAUGCAUAAAUAUUAUAUUCAUAAAAAAAAAAAUACAUGUAGGCAACUUUAAUCCUUUAAACACUUAAAUUUUCAUCACCAAUGUAACAAGCUAAUGGGUGAGACUUCCAUCUAAUACAACACAAGAAAUAGAUGUACCUUUAUAAAACAAAUAUAUGUACGCAACCUUAAUCCUUUAAACCCGUAAAUUCUCAUCAUCAUACGAUUUAACAAGUGAGUGCACGAGACUUUCAUCUAAUACAAUGCAAGAAAGUAGAUAUAUACAACUUUAAUCAUUUGAGUGAAGAUGACUCUUAUAUAUGAAUAAUACCAUCCAAAUUUCUAUAAUCUAAAGUUUCUAAACCUAACCCUCCCAUAUUUUUGUUCUUGUUAUAAGAGUGAGUUGGUUAUCUUCCCUAUUUCUUUAUUUCCAAAAACAAACACACAAAAAAUGAAGAGAUUGAAAAACUAUUAUAUGCACCUAAGACACCACCAUCACCACCACCACAACUCAGAGAGAAAAUGGGUUUACCCACUUGCAAUCGGUUCAAUGCUAUCAAUUUUCCUUCUCUUCUUAGCAACACUAACCUCACCCGCGGGUUCUCCAUUCUACCGCUCCGUCACCACAACCUACUCCGUUUUCGUCGAAUCCAAACUCCACCCUUUACCCAUCUCCACCCUCCCUCCUCCGCCGCGCAUCGCCUACCUCAUCUCCGGCUCCGUCGGCGACGGCAACGCCACCAAACGAACCGUGUUAUCACUUUACCAUCCUCAAAAUUACUAUAUUCUACACCUUGACCUUGAGGCCUCGCCUCAGGAGAGGUUAGAUCUGAGAGAUUUCGUGAGAGGGAGUGAAUUGUUUCAGAGGUUUCGGAAUGUUAAGGUUAUCAGUAAGGCCAAUUUGGUUACUUAUAGAGGGCCUACUAUGGUGGCGAAUACGCUUCACGCCGCCGCGAUUUUGUUGAGGGAAUGUGGGGAUUGGGAUUGGUUUAUUAAUCUCAGUGCAUCUGAUUAUCCACUUGUUACACAAGAUGGUUGGUUUCUAAUUUCGGAAAGGGAUAACAUCUAUUGUCCCAUGAAUUGUGCUAUAUGUUCUGAUUGGUCAGUCUCUUGUACUUACCAAUCAGAAUAUAAGAAACUUUCUUAUAUUCUGAUUGGUCAGUAUUUUGUACUUACCAAUCAGAAUAUAUGACACAGUUGUGAUAUAUAUAUAUAUUUGUGGGAUAAUUGAUGUUGUUUCUAUUUUUUGUUCGGAAGAAUAUAUGUUGUCCCUUGAGUUUAAGUCAUAGCUAUGUGACUUGGAUUCUGAUUGGUCAAGUAACAUGAGUUUCGGGCUUGUUUCAUAUUGAUUAAUCAGAAUCUAUGGCAUAGAGUUGGGGCAUACUUUGUUAUCUUUGUUUUGUGUGAUUGUGUUAUGAGGUGUGGUUUUCUGGAACUGAUUUGGUGUUUUGAUGAACUAGAUCUGCUGCACAUGUUUUCUUAUUUGCCGAGGGAUCUUAAUUUCAUUGAUCAUACUAGUGACAUUGGAUGGAAAGAGUAAGUUUGUUCUUGUUUUAUUUGUGUAAUUUUUAUUUUAUUUUUCGAAGUGAGGUUAUUUAUAUUUUAUGUGUUUUGAAUAGUCAUCAGCGGGCAAGACCAAUAAUAGUCGAUCCGGGGUUGUACAUGAGUAAGAAGCAAGAUGUGUUUUGGAUUACACAGAGGAGGAGUAGGCCGACAGCGUUCAAGCUUUUCACAGGUUUGCAUCUAUUUCCUUCUCUUUAUUGUGUUAGUGUUUCUUUUUUUACUUGAUCCAGGUUUGUCACAUAGUUUAGAUACCAUAUGCCAAUGUGAGUGUGAGUGGAUAGAGAUACUCAUAGUUCGAGACUUUUGAAGGAUUUUUUUUCUUUGAAUAUAUUGUGAUGCAAUUGAAGUAGUGAAGCUUAAAAGACCCUUUCUGUAUUUACUUCAUCAUAUCAUCUGUUCAGUUUUGGGUUUUAUAUGCAUGGCAGAAGGUAUCAUUGAUUUCCACCAGUUUUUGAAUCUGCUAUAGAUAGAGCAAGGCCUCAUUUUUUGUAGUACUUUCCGAUUAGCUGUAAUUUCCUUUGUUUUGUUUACUUAUGCCACAAAUCUGAUUUAUUUUCUCUAGAACUUGUGCUCUGGCUGAUUUUUGUUUGAAACAAUUAUUCUUGUAUAUGGUAAUGAAAAUUUAUGAAUUUUGAACUAAUGGAAAACCAAUUAUUAAUUAAUUAGUAGGAAAACUGUUGGCUAGACUAGUUGAAAAAGUUGAGCAUUAUCUAUCCGUGUUCAGGACAUGCGAGUGAACACUUUUUUGUAACUUCUUUUUUUUCAUUUGUCCCGUGGAUUAAACAUUCUGACAUCUGAUAAGUUAGACGGAUGUUACACAUCAGAUGAAACUAACUUUUAACUUUUUGCAAUAAAACAUGUUCUUAAUAAAACUUUCCACAGUGAAGUUUUGUUAUUCUACAAUCUACAAUCAUUUUAUAUUCUUGUAUCUUGUUGAUCCUAGGAGACAUUGUGUUUCAUCAUUUGGACUAGAUUAAUGAAUUCUGGUAUGACAGUAGUAUAUCAUGGAUACAUUAUUCUGUUUAUAAAUGCCAUUUUUUAGUUACAUGUGCACCACAUGAUUUGAGUGAGAGUUAAUUUCAGUUGUAGUGAUUGUUAACUAUUCUGGGAUCUGGGCAAGUAUUGAUGUAGCAUUUGAUAUCCCAAAAUGUUCCUAAUAUUGUUCCUGACGUAGGGAAUAGGAUGACUUAAUAUAAUUCAACUAGAAUGUGUUUACUUUACUGGCUUCUAAAUUUUAAUCUUAAUGAAAAAGGAAAAACAUCAUUUUGAAAACAUACAUUAAGUUGUCAGUUAAUGCCAUUUUGACAUUUUUCUGACAAUGAAUGGGUACAGCCCAGGAAUAUAUCGAACAGGGCUAUGCCUUCAUGCUCAUGUUCUAUAUACCACCUAUCCAGUUCCAGUCAUAUCAGUUAAUAUGGUACAGGUCAUAACAUAUCUCCCAGAAUAGGUGGAACUAAGCUAGAGAUAUGUAUCCUGGAGGGUUAAUGCUUUUUUGCUUCGCUUCUAUUACUGAACUCAUUUUGACAUCGUUCUGUUCCAUUGUAAUGAUUAACGAAUAUAAUUGUGGUAGGAGAACAUUCCUCUUUGUUCACAUGGGAUCAAAUCCCAUUGUGACUGCCAAAUAAAACCGAUCUGUUUUGGUUGUAUGUUGCACGUUUGUUUGAAACUAAACACUGUGAGUAGUAAAUAUACAAUCCUUAUAAGCGAGAAUAUUAUCAUAAAUGAUUAUGUAAAACUUCUUUCUUGUUAGGUUCGGCUUGGAUGGUACUCUCAAGAUCUUUCAUUGAUUACACGAUAUGGGGAUGGGAUAACCUACCUCGAACUGUUCUCAUGUACUAUUCAAAUUUCAUAUCUUCUCCUGAAGGAUACUUCCACACAGUUAUUUGUAAUGCUCAGGAGUUCAGGAAUACAACUGUGAAUAGUGAUUUACAUUUUAUUUCUUGGGACAAUCCUCCCAAGCAACAUCCUCAUUACCUUACCGUUGACGACAUGCAAAGGAUGGUUGACAGCAAUGCCCCCUUUGCAAGGAAGUUCCACAGAGAAGAUCCAGUAUUGGACAGAAUUGAUGCUGAACUAUUAUCUAGAGGUCCUGGAAUGGCUGUUCCUGGAGGCUGGUGCAUAGGAAGCCGGGAGAAUGGAACCGAUCCCUGCUCUGAGAUCGGUGAUACUGCAGUCCUUAGGCCCGGCCCAGGUUCAAAAAGACUAGAAAUAUUGAUCAGCUCAUUGUUGUCAAAUGAAAGUUUCCGGCCAAGACAGUGCAUAUGAGAAGAACCAACACUGAGACCAAUGUCUUCCUACUUCCAAAGAUAAUUUUCGCUGCGACAGUUUUAGUUUAUAUCUGCACAUUUAGUUAGUGUGAUGACUGUGAUCCGUAAAUUAAUGUUUCUUUCCAUUUGGAAAAGAAAAUAGUGAAAGCAUACACAUCAUCUUUCAUAUUGAGAAGACAGUGAGACAAAUCUGGUGAAAUUAAAUUCUGAGGUUGAUCUCACACUGUAAUACUAUGGUAUAUAUGAUAUGACAGCUGACUCUAUUGCCCCUUGUUACCACUUUCCUCCUUUUCAUUUUACUUCAACCCAGCCACCUCAGUAACCAGCAUUGAAGGUGUUCUCUAGGAUAAUCAUAUGAUUCCAGUUGCCGCAAUCCGAUUUUCGGUUGAACAUUGGCUCCGGGUCUACUGUUUUUUUGUUACCUGUAAACAAGAAAGGUGGAAAGAGGGUGGUGAGGGAGGGGAUUGUAAGAGUGGGGGAACUAAAGAACAAGAAGAAGCUGUGUGAACUUGAAUGAAAUACUUUUUAUGUAUUUUUAAUUUAGCAUAUGCUUUCCAAUUUCAUGGUGUUAUAUGGCAUACUUUUCUUAUCCUUGACUCAUAGAAUUUCUUGUGCUUGGGUGUCAAAUGUCAUUCAAAUCAUGUCCAAAUGGUUACUUUAUUUUUUAUGGUUAAACUAUACUAUUGGAUAUCAACAAGUGUGUUGGUCUAGUGGUAGAGGCACACUACGACAACAUGAUCCAGUAUUCGAUUCCUAGAGAAUACUUCUUGAUUUAGCAUAUGAUUUCCAAAUUCAUGGUUCUAUGUGGCCUAAUUUUCUUGUUCCUCGAGUCCUAAGAUUUCUUGUACUUUGGAUGCCAAAUUCCAUUGAAAUCAUUUCUAAAUGAAUUACAGUGAAGGUACAUAAGUUGUAUAUACUGUCAAUGUAUCAUUUAAUAUUUAUAUUUAAUCAUUGCUGACUCUUUAAAAAAGUAAUUCGAGUGAAUGAUGAAUGCUAUAAUGACUGUGUGUAAAUAUUUACAUUGUCAGCAUAAAUAUUACACUUAAGGACCGCAAUGAAUAGUGAACAAAGUUAUAGUUUAAGCAUUUCCUAUAUUUCUCCUUUUCCUUCUAUUCAUACACACUUUCCACAAGUGUCUAACACGUUGAGUUGAUAAUCUUCAAUUUUUAUAUUAACUUACUAAUAAUCCACAAGUCAGUUUUUCUAGAAGUUGGAAUUUCAGUAUUGACUAGUUCAAUGUAUACAACUUCAUUGAAGAUCACUAUUCCAUUUUGUUACGUUGCCUUCAAUACUCUUCAUUCUUGUAAUGGUAUGUGUAGCCUAAUUGUGCUCUCCAUUAUGGAAAGGUUUUGACUUGUUCUUUGGGGUACGUCAAAACUCACAAAAUAUGUCUUAUACUAACCACUUGGUCUAAGUUAAUAAGAAAAUUCUCAAGUUCAAUAUCUUGAACAAGGUGCAUAUUUCUUCAAUUUAUUUGCCAAUCAAACCACAUGAGGCAAAGUGGGGCUUAAUAGUUAAUAGAUCUCCAUCAUUUUUCCUUGCAUUGAAGGGCAACCCUAAAAAAUGUAUUAAUACUAUUUCUUUUUAUGAAAAUUGAGACAAUGCAACUAAUAGAGAUCGGAACAAACUUGAUUCCACUAUGAUAAUAAUGUAUUUUCUAUAAUUUAUUGUGUGAAUUUUAAUACCCUACACAAUAAAAAAAUUUAUAGGUACCUGUGCAAAUUCAACCCAAAUUUAACGGGAAAAAUCCAAUAUAAUUGAGUUUAGGUUCGAGUUUUACCCGAGUUCAACUUUCGGGGUUUAAAAUAGUUGAUACCAUACCCCAAACUUGAUUAAUAUAUAUAAAAUUACAAAAUUUUACAUAUAUAUAUAUAUAUUUGCCAAACAAAUUUGGGUUCGGAUUUUGAAUUUCGAGUUCAAAGUUGGGUCAGUAUAAAUCCGACCCCAAUCAUUUCCUUGCCAUUCAUACUACAUAAAUACAUUUUUAUUAUAAUUUUUAAGACAAUAUGUUGUUGAAGUUGGUUCUGUUUUCUAAAGACUUUUUUAUAUGCUAUUCAAAUAUCACAUCAUUGCUACCAUAGAUCAACCAAUAUUAAUAUUAGGAAAAAAAUGUUAUUUUAAUCAUGGGAUUUGAAGUUUGAUAGAGACAGUGGACUUGUAUAUAAAUUGAGUGGGAUAGUGUUGUGAAUGUAAAUAUGUAACGUGAGGAGGUUGAUGUCUGGAUUUAUAUAUAAUGGAGAUGUUCAACUAACAGAAUUAUUGAUAUUUUUAUGUUUUCUAACUUUUCAACUUUUUUUUGUCUUGGUUUUCUUUUUUGUAUUCAUUUCUGAAGUUUCAUGUUGCACAGGGUAAAGAGGGAAUAAGCACAAUGGAACAAAAGCUUUGAUUGAGACACAUGCCAGAGUAAGGACGAAAUAGAGGUAUAGCAAAAACAAAAACGCCCUAUAUAAAAGAAAUAUCAUAUAAAAAAAUAAUUGAAUAAAAAUAAAAGUGUUAUUUAUUUGGCACAAAAAAAACGGAAAAUAAGUUUUACAAUAAUAGUUAUCUUGCAUUCUUUCUAUGAAAAACUUGUGUAAUGUACUUUAUCUAGGAUCUAAGACUCAACGGCAGAGUGUGUACCAUAUGCUAAAAUUAAAAUAGUAAAUAGUAAAUAUCAUUAUAUAUAAAACGAUGGAAAGAUUAAUAUCAAAAUCACAAAAUUUAAAUAUAUUUAAUCAACUAAAUUAUAUAUUUUACCAACAAGGCAUUGGUCUAGUGAUGUAAGGUUUUACUCGAUCCCAAGGUUGAAGGUUCGAUUCUUGGGAGCGACAUUUGUUGGAAGGAGUAGCCACAAACCUCAAAAUGGAUUAGUUCCUUACCAAAAAAGGUGAGGAGAUACCUUUGGUAAUACUAAAAAACUAAGUUAUAUAUUUUAUAAUUUGUCUCUAACUUCAUAUUUUGAAAUCAAUGAAUUAUCACCUCGUUGCCAAUGUUAUUGAACAUUUCUCGGUCAAUAUAAGUGGUUAGACAAUCUUUCAUCCAUAAAUAUCACAUUCGAUUACACAACCUAUUUUUCACAUUUUUUCGUAGUUGAAAAUACUUUUUCUAUAGUUGUUGUGGUAAUAGAUAAAAUCAUUGUUAACUUAAAAAAAUAAGCUAAUGAGUGAAUAAUAUGUCUUUCACUUUCAAACAACUAUCUAAAAGAUUAUUGAUUCUUUUUAAAGAAACAAAAUCAAUACUAAUACACAUUUUAAUUAUGCAAGUUGCAAGUUGAUUAUCAAGUAUCACUAAAUUAAUUGAACAAAAAUCAAAGGGAUAAAUUGAUUGGAAAGUUGAGGAAUGUGUAAACCACACGAUGGAAGUGUGUAGAUGAAAUGACAUAUAUAUAUNNNNNNNNNNNNNNNNNNNNNNNNNNNNNNNNNNNNNNNNNNNNNNNNNNNNNNNNNNNNNNNNNNNNNNNNNNNNNNNNNNNNNNNNNNNNNNNNNNNNAAUAAGUGUGAUAGAAAUGUGUAAUUAAAGUUUAAGGGAAAAUGAGAGUGGAAGUUGGAUGGUAGAUUCACACUUAUGUGAUGGAUGAAAUUGAUAAAAAUUUCGAUAAGGGAGAUUAGUCUAAUUUCUAGAGGAGUGAGAAGUCAAUAAAACCAUAGAUGCAAUUAUCAUUAACGAUUUUAAGAUCAAGAUUUCAUCGAUCAACAUUAUAUAUAAUAAUAUAAUGAAUCAUUACAACGUUGUUCCAUUUAUCUAACCUACCCCACCUAAGACAAUUAAAACUUGAUUAUUGUUGGAUGUAUAACGAUCACAUGGAACCCUGGUUAGAAAUUCCUCAUGCUGAAUUUUCUAAAUAUAUCCUCCAAAUUUGAAAACCUAAGUAUAUGUGUUUGAAAAAACUAACAACUUUUGUACAUGUGUCAGCAAUGGCAAUGACAUCAUGAUCAUGAUGGUGGUGUGAUAUGAGGCAAUGGUAGUUGAAACAAUCUAUCUAUGACGAUUUUUGGGUAUUGAAGAAGGGUAAGGGAUAAUGAGUUGGGUUUUAAGGGACCAUAAAAAAGUCAACUAGGCUUAAGUGAAUUGGUUGGAUCGAACAACAAAAACUAAAUGGUCUUGGACUCCAUUCACUGGAAUUCUAUUGUCAAACCUUGGGCCAACUUUCUUCUUUCUAAAUUGUAUCCACUAAAAACUAACGGAUUCUCGACUAAAGAGAAGUAAUAUAUGAUUAAGUAACUCUACUGGUACUAUACUUUUUAUGUUUUUUAUUUUUAUUUUAAAUAAAAGGAUCCUUACAAUUUAGAUUGUUGGACCAGACUGCGACCGGAAAGUCUCCAACUAUCGGGGAGUUCCAUUAUGACAUGGGUAUGGGAAGAGUGAAGAGUCACAAGUGAGACACCACGUCUUGAACCAAAACCUUAAGGCAUUAGUUCCAUGGGCCUUUCUUUCUUAUAAACUCUUUCGCUCCUCCCCGCAUAUCCAAUGUGGGACUUCACACUUGAAUAAACUCAACAAUUUUCCCCUCAAGUGUGGGUACCACACACUUUUCGGUCCGCUCCCCUUUGAGUCCACCAUGGCUCAGCCGAACCAUCGGCUCUGAUACCACUUGUUGGACCAGACUACUAUCGGGGAGCCUCCAACCACCGGGGAGUUCCAUUGUUACAUGGGUAUGGGAAGAGUGAAGAGUCACAAGUGAGAUACCACAUCUUGAACCAAAACCUUAAGGCAUUAGUUUCAUGGGCCUUUCCUUCUUAUAAACUCUUUCACUCCUCCCCGCAUAUCCAAUGUGAGACUUCACACUUGAAUAAACCCAACAACGAUAAGGGAGUUAUAAUUAGAGGUGAGGCACCCUCUAGAUUAAGAAAGAAUAUUAGAUAGGGGUGACGAAUCCUCUAUCUAGGAUAUAGUAAUCGUUUUGGGAUACAUAGAAUUAGGAGAUUGUGGGGAAUUAACCAGGGCGAAGCUGGUGAAGAAAGACAUGAAUGUCUUUAUUGAUCUAUUUGUAUCCAAACAAUAUCUCAAUAGUGAAAAUCCACAUCAAUCGAGACACUAGACAUAACGUCAUUCUUGACAUCAACAAAUAUAAAAUCAUUGGCGUCAAAUCUUCUUACUCUCUAUACUUUUUAAUUUCAACAUUGAUAUUUGAUAAUCAAUUGUUUUGCACAUAAUUGGAUAGAUUUUUAAUUUCAAUUUUUUUUGUCAUUAUUAAAUUAUUAAGCCAUUCUUGAUCUUAAUAUCUCCAUGUGUCUUCCGCUACAACAAACUGGUAUCAGAGCUCGUAGAGCUCUUGCAUGCUAAGCCAUACAAUCUAAAAGAAAAUUCUUAGUAUGCUUUGUGUUUGCAGCACUGUCUGAUCUUACACACCAGAAAAGAAUUGUUCUUGUUACUAGAAAGGUAUAAUAGCGUGAAAGUGCAUGUCUAGGAAAGUUCUGUCUUAGAAAAGACCUGGUAUUUAAGCGUGUCUGUUAAGACCCACCUAUCUUUCCUGGGAGCUUUCCUGGUGUACGCUCACGGACUACGAUAUUGUUCCGGUAUACGGUUAUCAUGGCGAGUGCUAAAUUUGAUUUGGAGAAAUUUAAUGGAGAAAAUGAUUUCAACCUAUGGCAAUUGAAGAUGAAAGCUCUACUAGUUCAUCAAGGCUUGGGAAAUGCCUUAGAAGGUAGAAACAGUUACCACAGAGUCUGACCGAGGAUGAGAAGGAUGAAAACCUGGAAAAAGCACAUAGUGCAAUUUUGUUGUGCUUGGGAGAUGAAGUUCUACGAGAAGUGUCAGAUGAAACUANNNNNNNNNNNNNNNNNNNNNNNNNNNNNNNNNNNNNNNNNNNNNNNNNNNNNNNNNNNNNNNNNNNNNNNNNNNNNNNNNNNNNNNNNNNNNNNNNNNNCAAAAUUAUUCUUGAUCUAAAGAAUAUUGAUGUUAAAAUUGAAGAUGAAGACCAAGCAAUUCUUCUACUAUGUUCCCUUCCAAAUUCUUAUGAGCACUUCAUCGACACUAUAAUGUAUGGACGAGAAGAUCUGACCUUAGACGAAGUAAAGGCGGCGUUGCACUCGAAAGAACUGAAGAAAAGAGUAUCAGAUUCGAGAUCUGAAAGCUUAGGUGAUAGUCUUUUUGCCAGAGGAAGAACAGAGAGGUGAAAUCAAUUUGGUGAAAGAGGGAAAUCUAGGUCCAAGUCUAAAGCGAAACCUAGAAAGUAUAAAUGCUUUCAUUGUCACAAAGAAGGGCAUAUAAGAAAGAAUUGUCUAGAGCGUAAAGGCAAGGAAAAGAUUUAUGAAUAUGGAGAUGCAGCUGUAGCAAAUGACUAUGAUAGUGCAGAUGCACUAAUAGUCUCAGAGCACGAUUCAAAAGAUGAAUGGGUACUUGAUUCUGGAUGCUCAUAUCACAUGUGUCCCAUUAAGGAUUGGUUUUCAACUUACCAACCCUUAGAUGGGGGCAAGGUCCUUUUGGGAAAUAAUGCUCCCUGCAAGGUCAUUGGCAUCAACACAAUUAGAAUCAAGAUGUUCGAUGGAAUCGUAAGGACGUUGACAGAUGUAAGGCAUGUUCCAGAAUUGAAGAAAAAUCUGAUUUCCUUGGGAACACUAGAUUCAAAAGGUUAUAGCUACAAAGGUGAAGGUGGAGCUAUAAGAAUAUCUAAAGGCGCUAUGGUUGGAAUGAAAGGAAAGAAAGAGAGUAGUCUCUAAUAAAUGCUUUCAUUGUCACAAGGAAUGGCAUAUAAGAAAGAAUUUUCCAGAGCACAAAGGCAAGGAAAAGAGGAAGGUCAUAUAAGAAAGAAUUGUCCAGAGCGCAAAGGCAAGGAAAAGAUUUAUGAAUAUGGAGAUGCAGCUGUAGCAAAUGACUAUGAUAGUGCAGAUGCACUAAUAGUCUCAGAGCACGAUUCAAAAGAUGAAUGGGUACUUGAUUCUGGAUGCUCAUAUCACAUGUGUCCCAUUAAGGAUUGGUUUUCAACUUACCAACCCUUAGAUGGGGGCAAGGUCCUUUUGGGAAAUAAUGCUCCCUGCAAGGUCAUUGGCAUCGGCUCAAUUAGAAUCAAGAUGUUCGAUGGAAUCGUAAGGACGUUGACAGAUGUAAGGCAUGUUCCAGAAUUGAAGAAAAAUCUGAUUUCCUUGGGAACACUAGAUUCAAAAGGUUAUAGCUACAAAGGUGAAGGUGGAGCUAUAAGAAUAUCUAAAGGCGCUAUGGUUGUAAUGAAAGGAAAGAAAGAGAAUAGCCUAUAUAUGUUACAAGGAAACACAAUCACGGGUGUUGCUGCUGUAUCCUCAACAUCUGAUUUUGAUGUCACCAAAUUAUGGCAUCUAAGAAUGGGUCAUGUCAGUGAAAGAGGUCUAGUCGAGUUGGCCAAGCAAGGAUUACUAUGUGGUCAACAAGUCGGGAAGGUAGACUUCUGUGAACAUUGCAUUUUUGGAAAGCAAUGUCGAAUAAAAUUCAACAAUGCAGUUCAUCGAACAAAAGGCACGUUGGAUUAUAUACAUUCUGACUUGUGGGGUCCUUCCCAAGUACCUUCUCAUGGUGGUAGCAGAUAUAUGCUAACUUUCAUUGAUGAUUAUUCAAGGAAGGUUUGGAUCUUCAUUUUGAAACAUAAAAGUGAAGCAUUUGUCAAGUUCAAACAGUGGAAAACCUUGAUCGAGAAUAAGGAUUAGUAAUCCUUAUUCUCUAAUAAUAUCUUGGUAGCCGUUCAGCGCUCCCGGGGACGUAGUCAUAAUGGGUCGAACCCCGUUAACAAAUGUUCUUGUUUUUUCUCUUCUAUUUAUUCUAUGCCUUUAUUUGAUUGCUUGUGACCAACGCUGAGCAACGAUCACUUCCGCUAUUCCAACAAUUGGUAUCAGAGCCAAUUGGUAGAUGACUUUUAACCCAAACAUCAAAUAGUAGCUAAAGACGAUGAAUGCGUGAUGGCUAGACAAGGUGUGUCAAAGUUAGUGGCAAAAUAGAAUAGAUGAGUUGAAGGAGAAAGAAACAUGGCGGAACUGUGGUGUGGGCGAUGUAUGUGUUGAUCCAGAACCCCAUAAGUUCAUGUAUUGGGUUAUGAUCAAGAUGGAGAUAAGGACUCAUGUGUUGAGUUUGACCUAGAGACAGAUGCUGAUAAUAUCUCUCUAGAUGUUGAGAGAACGUUCUCAUUUGAGAUGAGAAAUGGAAUAUCCUAAUGGCGUGUCUGAGACGUCAUAGUGAAAGAUGUUAAUUGUUAGCAGAUCUACAAAAGCACAGAGGCGCUGACUGGCUUUGAUGCAAGUUGUAACACGAGCAUUGGUAGAGAUGCAGGGAUGUGACAUGGGCAUUGGCUUGGAUGCAAGGAUGUGACACAAACAUUAGUUAGAAUUGACGCAAAGUGUGUGUUGUGGGUAUACUCCUUAUGGUGGAGUAUGAUAGUUCUUUUGAACCGUGAUUGUCAGAAUAGACAAUGGUGGUAGCGGUUGAGGCUUUCCAAGGAAGCUCCAAGGUUUAGUUUGACUGAGUAUUGGAGAGGACGAUUGUUGGUAAAAUUUUGUGUAGAGGUUCCAAUAUAUCGAAAGACUUCCUAGCAAUAGAUGGCUAGGUGGCGUGUUCCAUUUGAUGGCGGUACGGGAAGCUACACUACAAGUUUGGAGAGCUAGGCUCUUGGUAACAUCGUCAAGGAUACUCAGAAGGUCUAUGUUGUAGAGGAGUAGUUAAAGAGAAUUAGACAUUGAACAAGGUGAAGUCAUAUAUUCGCUAAGGUGGAGAUUCUUGUGUAGAUUUCCUAAGGAGCAAGAUAUUUGUCUAUUUCAAUCAAGGUGGAGAUUGUUGGGGAUGCUUGAAAUAUGUUAUUGCGUUAGUCCCACAUUGUCUAGUAUUAGAAUAGAGUAGGUAACCAAUGUUAUAUAUUGGACUCAAGUCCCUUGUUAUAAUGUGCACCAUAUAUAAGCACGAAAUAUAAACACCCCAUGGGCAGGUGGGCCUAUGGGUGUGCUAGGGUUUGUAACCUUUAUUCUCUAAUAAUAUUUUGGUAGCUGCUCAACGCUCCCAAAAACGUAGACAUAAUUGGUCGAAGAUGUACCCAAAGCAACUAGAUUAGUAUCAAAUGCUAAAUCAUACAAUUAUAUUGGUAUCAAGACUUAUGUUGAUCUAAAAAGAGGAUCAAAAGCACGUUUGUUAUUCAUAACUAUUGGUACAACAGAAGUAAUUUUUACGCAGUAUUGACCACAAACAAUCAAAUAAAGAGUAUAGAAUAAAUAAAAGAUAAGAAAAUAAGAUAAUUUGAUAACGAGGUUCGACCAAUUAUGCUUACUUCCCCGGGAGCGUUGAGUGGUUACCACGAUAUUAUUAGAGAAUAAGGAUUACAAACUCUACCAUAUCCAUGAGUCAAGUGCCCAUGAAUAUUUCUAUUUGUUGCUUCUAUUUGGUGCACAUAAUUAAUAACAAGGGACCCAAGUCCAAUAUAUAACAAUUCUAAUGUUAGACAUGUGUGACUUCAUAUAAUAACAUGUUUCAAAAAUCCACCACAAUCUCCCCCUUGAUUUAAAUAGACGAAUAUUUUACUUCUUAGGAAAUCUACACAAUAAUCUCUACCUUAACGAAUAUCCUGCUCCAUCUUGCUCAAUGCCUAAUUCUCUUUAACUCCUCCAUAUGAGAGUCUGCUAUCCUACAAUAUAAACCUUCUGAGUAUCCUUGACGAUAUCUAGCUCUCCGAACUUGUAGUGCAGCUUCUCAUACCACCAUCUAAUGGAACAUGCCACUUAGCCAUUUACACAAACAUUUUUUAAUAUAUAGAACCUCUACAGAAAAGUUCACCAACAACCAUCAUCUUUAAUACUCAGUCAAAUUGAAACUUAGAGCUUCCUUGGAGAGCCUCAAUCGCUACCAUCGUUGUAUGUUUCGACAAUCACGGUUCAAAAGAACUAUCACACUUCACCAUAAGGAGUAUACCUACAUCACACAUCUUGCAACAAUGCUAAUCAAUGUCCAUGCCAUAUCCUUGCAUCCAUGCAAAUGCUCAUGUCACACCCUGCAUCUCUACCAAUGUCCAUGUUACAUCCUGCAUCAAAGCCAAUGCCCAUGUUACACUUAUAUCAAAGUCAGUCAGCGCCUCUAUGCUUUUGUGGAUUUGCUAACAAUUAAUAUCUUUCACUAUGAUGUCGUAGACAUGCCAUUAGAAUAUUUCACUUCUUAUCUCAAAUGAUGAGUUCUCUCAAUAUCUAGAGAGAUAUUGUCAACAUCUAACUCAACACAUCUGUCUCUAUCUUCACCUUGGUCUCAAUCCAAUACAUGGACUUCUGUGGUUAUAGAUCCAACACAACUAUAAUAUAAAGAAUUUGGUAACGAGGUUCGGCCAAUUUUAUCUAUGUCUCUGAGAGCGUUGAGAAGCUAUCACUAUGUAUUAGAGAAUAAAGAUUUGUGUUUAUGAAUAUUAUUCUCCGUAUUACAUUAGGUUUACAUAACACAUUAAUAUAUAAUCCUUUACUCCAACCUCUUUACAUCAACUCAAUCCUAUAAUUUGGAUUUCUCUUACACAGAGAAAAUGCCUUGUCCAUUGGAAAGCCAUCGCAUAACAAUAACUCAAACAAUGGAUUUGACAUCUGAAAAAUAAACACCCCAUCGUUGAAUAACUCAAACUUAGAGCUUCUCAUACCGCAAAGUCAAAUAUUGUUAUCGUUGAAGCAUCAAUCUAGAAAUGAACUCACAAGGCUCAAUUGUCGAGUAAAGAUCACGGGAAGAACUAAGUUGAAUUGAUCAAAGAGUUUUGAAUUGCAUCUGUGGAUCAAAGUACACUUUCUAUGGACAAGGAUCAUAUGUUUCUAACCGUGUCUCAUUCUUUGUUCUAAAUAUAUCACAUUUUGUCAUAUGAAUUAAAGAAAAAUUUUAAAAACAAAAAAAUAAAAAGUCACAUUUUGAUUAGUUUGAGACAUGAAAUAAAACACCGUUCGGGACAAGUAAUCCCGGCUUUCCAUAUUCACUACUAAUUGCUUAGUGUCUACUGUCUAGUAAGACACACCACAUCUUCUGAGCCUAAUUGAUUCUGCAUGCUUAAUUAGUUUUGACAAAAAGGCUUGGAAGCAGAUAAGGAAGAGUUUGGAAAGAGUGAAGAAAAAGGAAUAAAGAGGUAUGAAAAUAUUAUAACAAGAACAUUUGAUAGUUGAUGAAGACAAGAGUGCUUAUAGUGAUGGUUGAAGAUAUGACGAUUGUAAUCUGAUAAGGUUUAGGUUUAGGUUUCGUUUAAGUUUUAUUUGAUUAUUUGAUAUGAUUUGAUUAUAUUGUUAAGCAAAGAUUUGAUUUGCACUUAGGCUCAUUAUUAUAUGAUUCUUUACAAAUCAUUUAAAUAGGACCACCUCUUGUACAUUCAUAACACACAUCAAUAAUUUAUUGGGGGUUUAAAUUCACUAAAAUGGGCAUAUCUUAAUUAGUCCCUACAAAAGAACUUAGACUCAUGAUCCUUUUUUUAUUUCAUACCUUAUAUUUUUCAUUUGUGCUUUUGGUUAUCUAUUAAGAAGGUUUCGUGCAUUUAAUCAGAUCAAUUCCAUACGAUCUUUUUAAUGCCUCAAUUCGUGUUUGUUCGGUUCUGUUAAAGUGAUGGAAUUGAAAAAACUACCAACCAUUAAGUACAACCCCAAAGAACCAGAGAUUCUGUAAACAACAUAGAGCAAAGAUGAAAGCGAGCAAAAAGGGAGAGAAACCCCAUCUCUUUCUUUUGUUUUUUAUGUCCCAAAUUCAAUAACCCAUUUUCUUUAUUUGCAAGGUAAAUCCAAUUUAUUGUUCCUUAAUGAGUCGCUACUCAGAUAAAUCUAUAUACAUAUAUUUAUGUAUACAAGAAGUAUAUCCAGUAAUAUGUACUAGACUCAUAUUAUAUUAUAUAUAUAUAUAUAUAUANNNNNNNNNNNNNNNNNNNNNNNNNNNNNNNNNNNNNNNNNNNNNNNNNNNNNNNNNNNNNNNNNNNNNNNNNNNNNNNNNNNNNNNNNNNNNNNNNNNNAUAUAUUUAUUUAUUUGAAAGAAGUUACCUUGCUUUCACUUAGCUCUUCUCCAAAUUCCCAUUAGACUUAUUCUUCUUGACAACAAAUUGUCUAUAUAAUAUUGGGAAAUAUGUAUUAAAAUGUACCAAACACAUAAGGAUUAUAGCUCAGUUAGGUAGAACACCUCAUUUAUACGCACUAAUGUUUUUUCCAGAGGAGCUCAUCAUGCAAUCAGAAGAGCUGAUCUUAUUGAGAAAUGGAUGUCUGACUCUAUUAGUUUAGAAAACACUAUGAGUCAGCGUCAAUAGAACUUGAUUAAUCUUUUUUGUCGUUAAGGUAGAGAACUAAACCAAGAACUCUCUUUCUUUAUCAUCAAUCAAAUUGAUGUUUGAGACCUACCAUUCUACUUUAUCAUCAAUCAAUCACCAUUCACAUUUUUUUUCUUAUGAAGGAGUAGAUCGCUUUACUUGUAUGACUUAGAUAUAUUGUAUUUCUCAAAAAAGUGACUCAAUUAAUAGGAUUUGAUAUGACACUUAUAAGAUUGAUAAGAUUCCUAUAUUUCUUCUUAAAACGUGUUGACUUGAUCCUACAAGCAAAAACACCACCCCAUAACCUUGCCAUUUAAAAUAAUUAAAUGGAAAAAAAUCCUUUGAAGGAAAAAAAGAAAUAGGUGAAGAUAGCCACACCAAUGCACAAAGAAUGAAUAGGGAUGCAUUGGAGAUGAAUAAGGGCAGAAACUGACAUGACAUCUUUCUUUCAUGCUCUUUUUGUUAGAGCGUAGUGGGAAUAGCCCCUUCCGUUGCCUGAAAUAAGGAAUAAAAAUUUCUCACCAUAGAAUAUUCGCUGUCAAAUAAAACUCUACGCCGAUGAUUCUCUCACGUCCACACCUCAUUAUUCAACCAACCAAAAUUCGGUACUACCAGCCACUUAUUAGUAGCCAAACAAAAUAAUCUAGGUGAAAACUCCUUCAAGCUCUAGUUCCCCACCGAAAUGUCAAGUUAGAAAAGAGUUUGGGAUCCAUCCGUAAUGUCCCUCCAAAUGUUUUCCUCAAACCACCCACCAUUAAUCCCAAUGAAGUGCCAACUCUACACAAAUCUUUCCACCAAGUAGAAGAAGAACUACUUAGGAAAAUAGUGACAUCAUCUCUAUAUUUUGAGUUAAGAACCUUAACCCAAAUAACUUCCUUUUUUUGUAAUAUUUUCCAUUUCCAUUUCCGAAGUAAAGCAUCAUUAAAAAGAGACAAAUCUCUAAUACCCUAACCACCAAGGUGCUUAGGAUUACAAAACUCUUUCCACCAAGGGGGCAAUGUUAAAUUUCUUGCACUUGUAUAUAUUUUCUUAUUUGUUUGAUUUUAUAUGGGUAGAGGAUUCUUUUCAAUAAAAAUAAAAACCAAACUUAAUUAGAAUAUAUCUUGGCAACAUAAUCUUUAUGAUUCAUUAAUUUUAAGAUAAGACUAAUUAAUUACAAUACUCCUAAUAAACCCAGACAUUGGGCGAAGAGAAAUUAUACUUAUCUUAGUUAUCUAAGAUUUACCCUUGCCCUUGGCUGUAAAUAAAUAAACAAUUUUAAUAUCUUCUAAAUAAUAUUAAACUAUAUAUAUGACUCGAUAAUGGGAUAACCAUUUUAUAGCAUUUAUUCUGAAGAUUGCUUUCACUGUUUAUGGGAUUAUGAAGAUAGAGCUUUCACUAUUUAUGUAUCCCAUGUAAUGCAAGAAUGAGCUUCUUAACAUUCAUAGUCGAAGUUCAUCGUUACAAUAUAACUAAUAGCUUGACUUAUAGGAUCAUAAUUUAAGGAGGUAAAGCACAUGCAAAUCCAUGAAUGAACACUUACAGGAUCAUCAAAACCUCAUCUGGUUUAUUGUCACCAAUGGUAAUGAAUGCUUCUUAGUUCUUAGUUUCUUACCAUAAAAAUAACAUCAGAAUGAUCAAAAUCUCUGCACUACAUUAAUCCAUAUAUAUGCUUAUUUAAUAUAUAUCUAAUAUAUAAACUAGCUUUGACAGACAAACAUAAACAAAAAAAGAAAAGGAAAAAUUUAAGAGGUUCUUACCUUAUGAGAUGGUAGCUUUGGACUUCAAAUUGUGCAGAAAGUGAAGGAGCUUCUGCCAAGUAAAGAUUACAGCUUCCAUUAUAGUUGGAUUUGGACCAUAUUUCAGUAAUAACAGAAGGUACCAUUUCUCCUGCUAGAAAGGGUCCCUAUACUCAUUUCUUCUAUAUCCUAAACUUUUUAUCUGUUCCUUCUAGUGUAUACUUCAACUAAGGUAGGUUUAUUCAUUCAGAAUUAGCGUAUAUUAAUUUAUAAUAUAAGGAUGCAUGAUGUGGAUGUCCCAAAUAAACUAGGUUAUGGAGGGUUAGGUGUCAUUUGGUGAUGGGAUUUACACAGACCUCGAGAGAAGCUGAUCAGUUUAGUGAUUAAAAUAUAAAAACAUUAAUGACUAACUAAUGUGAUGAAUAGGAUUAUGAAUAUACUCUUCAUAAGUUUUAUAAUGAUACAUGAUAAGUGAUUAUGAAGUUGUCAACAUGUACCAUAAACAAUUAGAAAUAUGGGGCAAGAGAACUUUUUAUAUAUCAUUAAUUUGAUUAUUUGAAUCAUGAAAGAAUUUUUUUACAAAAUUGUUAGUAUAGUCAGACCUAUUCUCGAUUUUUAAUGAGUCAAUAGUCGAAUCAUUGAGUCAUUUUACUAACUAACAUUAUUUAAUAAUUUUAUAAUAUAAUUUAAAAAUAUUAUUUAAUUACCUAAUUAAACUACUAGCAAUAAAGUUUGUACUAUAACAAAAUUCACAAAUAAAACGAAAAUAACAUCAAAUAACAUAAAUUUUACACUUUAAUCACAACAAAAAACAUACUAAUAAUUUUAAAACUUAAUUAGAUAAUUAAAAUUUUGUUACAAGGUAAGUUAAUGAAGAAAGUAUCAAAUUUUCUCUUAAAACGAUGUCUUGAUUUUAUUUUUUUAAAUUAGAUUAACUUUGAAAUCCAACCAAAACUUAACCUAGCCCUCAUUUUUAUGCUUAAAUGGAACUGGACAAACUAGUUAUGCCCAUAUUAACCAAGGACAGUCAAUCACUGAGAUUUAAUAUAUAACACAAGGAAGUGAAGAAAAAUGAACUGGAUAUAUACUUUUUUUUUAAGCGUGUAACUACACCCAAUUUAUUAUAUUAAAGAGGAACAUACAAGAGACCAAGUAGAGAAAUUAUAAUUUGUUGAACCUAUAGCUAGAAAGUUCAAGUCUAUUUCUAUUGUACACUUGUGUGAAAAUUGGAGUUUGAUUUCAAGAUGUGUUUUGCCUAGUUUCUAUAGCAUAGUUGGCUAAUUUAUCAGCACAACUAUUAUCUUCCCUAAAGAUAUAAGAGAUAUGAAAAUUCAUUUAGUUCAACUUGGUUUUACAAAUAGUCCACUCAUUGCUAAUUUUCCAAGGAGCCUUGGCCCUACCUUGAAAUAUAUCCACAACCGUGAUUGAGUCACACUUCAGACACAGAUUUGUCGAAUCAUGAUUGUAAGCCAAGUUAAUUGCUUUGAUUGCUGCAAAUAGCUCAACACAGAUUGAUUGUUGUAUGUCUAGGUAGGAUGCAAAGCAAGCUAAGCAGGUCUCAGAGUUAUUGUUAAAGAUUCCACCUACACCCGCAAGGCCAAGAGAACCUUUUGUUGCCCCAUAUGUAUUUGCUUUUAUCCACCCCUCAUUUGGCACAUGCUAGACCACUUCAAUAAUUCUCGGAUCCUUGGUAAGCUUUGAAGGAAUUUUAAAUUUUCUCAACAAAAGAAGAUCAGUGACAUUACAAGUAGAAGAGGUUCUUUGUGAGCAAUUUCUAGCCAUGGAUGUCUCUCUUGAUUUUAGAGAUUGCUUGGUUGAGAGGUAUCUGCUUAUCAUCAAAUCUAAUUUGGUUUAUACAAUACCAUAUUGUGGAAAUAGUGUGCACUACACAAGCAAAUAAAACCUCUUUCAGUUGGUUUGUGAAGUGAUUCUUGCAGUUCAAUAGGAUAGAGUGAGUAGAUUGAGUGUUAAGCCUUAUAGAGAAUGUAUCAUAAACCCAUGACCAUAAAGCCCUUGUAAAUCUACAUUAAAGAAACAUAUGAUCAAUGUCCUCAUGAGUGGCAUUACAAAGACUACACUUUGAAGCCAGACACAUGCCUAUCUUUUGUAGGUUUUCCUAAGCAUAAUCCUCUAUGUAAUGAAAGAUUUUGAAGGAGGAAUAGCCAAUGACCAGAUCUGGUUGCACCAGGAAAUCUAUGAGAGAUGGUUAGUAACAUGUGCAAAAGGAACCUUUGAAGUAAGCACACCAUUAGUAGAAUUUUGUCAAACUAAUUUGUCCAGGUUAUUGACUCUACUGAUGUUUAGGAUUUUAGUGACUAACUUAGGGAAUAGCCUGUUCAGAGGCCCUAGGAUCAACCACUUUGCAUAAUGAUAAAGUCAGCCACCUUAGCCUGCAGUUGAGACUGCAAUUCAUGAGGGAUUUGGAGAUAAUCAACUGAAGGGUCACUAAUUCAAUUGUCUCUCUAGAAAUUUAUCUGAUUGCCAUCUCCCACCAACCAUAUUGAAUUCUCAUUAGCCUCAGACCAAUUCUCCUUGAUUCCAUGCCACACCGAGGAUUGGAAAUGCCUACCAUCAGGAGUUAUGUUAUCACCAAACCUCUCUCUCUCUAUAGAAGAUAGCCCAAUUUUGAUUAUAGGUCCUCAUGUCCCAGACCAACUUUAACAAAGUAGUUUUGUUCAUGAUCUUGAUUGACCUAAUCCCCAAUCCACCUUCCUUAGAAGGAGAGUAGACUUUGUGCCAAGCCACAAUGACCAUCUCCCUCACCCCAACUUCACCAUCCCAUAUAAAAUUUCUCAUACCCAUGUCCAUAUAAUUAAGCAGUUGCAGUGGCCACUUAUAGAUUUGGAAGUUAUAGACUACCAUGCUUUGGAUUAUGGACCUGAUCAACUCUACUCUACCAUUUGGAACAAAGAUAAGUCUUUACAAGUAGCCAUCUUAGCUAUUAUUCUAUGUACUAUAGGUUGCAGAUGAAUUUUCUUAGGUUUACCCUUAAAGAGAGGCACCCCUGUAGAAAAACCCAAGUAUGAUGACAAUGAAGCAAUCCCCAUAGGAUUAGUAUUAGUAGUGUAAAACUUGCAUUUAUUUUGGUUGAUAUGUUGUCUAGAGGCCUCAUCAUACUUCAGAAUUUGAUUCAAGCAAUUGUCUUUUAUUGCCCUUGCAAAAGAUUAGAAUAUCAUCUGCAUAGAGAACAUGACUAGGAGUUUGAAGACCUAUAGAGCCAGAUAUGGUGCUGAGCUGGUUCUCACUGACCAACUCGGCUAAGGACAUCUUUAGCAAGAUAAAACAACAUGGAAAAUAGAGGAUCCCCUUGCCUAACCCAUUUUCUACACCUGAAGAAUCCAACAUUUUUGCCAUUGACAUUGAUGGACAAAAUAGUAACAAUAAGAAUGACAUUGAUCCAUUGAAUAAAUUUUUGAUUGAAGCUAAAAGCCUUAAGAUUAUCCAAUAGGAAUUUCCAGUCUAUUAUGUCAAAGGCCUUUUUGAUAUCAAACUUUAUUGAAAGGUUCCCUCCAAAGGUCUUAUAAUCAAGCAAAUUAAUGGCCUCAGAAACUAGACAAAGGCAGUCUUGGAUUCUUCUAUCUUUUAUGAAACCCUUUUGUUGUUUAGAGAUGAUCCUAGGGGCAAUGAGUGCUAGUCUAUCAGCCAACACUUUAGUUAUAAUCUUAAAAUGAAAAUUAGCUAAAGCUAUCGGCCUAAACUCCUCAAUCAUGUGUGCGCCUGAGCUUUUAGGAAUCAAAAUUACGGAGUCAGGGUCAAUGUUGGGCAACAACCAACUUUGGUGAAAAAAUUGCCUAACAGAGUUACAAACAUCAAUAUAAAUCAGAUCCCAAAAGCUUUGAAAAAACAUCUUCCAUAACCAUCAGGGCCAGGUGCUCCCUCACCAUUCAAAGCAAAAACAACCUCUAUGAUUUCCUCAUAUAAAGGAAUUCUGGUAAGGUUGUUGUUUUCCUCACCAGUCACCAAGGAUGGGAUCACAUACUGAAUUAGGCUGUUAGGAGAGGUAAUGUUUGGAGAAGUAAAUAAGUCAGUGUAGAAUCUUAACACACGAUUAUCAAUAUCAUCUUGGCUGGAUAUUAUAGCAUCACCAUUUUUCAACAUAGAUAUAGACUUUGUGGCUUGUCUAAUCUUAGUUACUUUGUGAAAGAAACUAAUGUUUCUGUCCCCUUGAGCAAACUAAUUGAUUCUAGCCUUCUCUUUCCAAAAGACCUAUUCUUGAAAGUGCAAAGAGUCAAGGCCUGCACAUUUAAGGCUAACCAAAGUUUUGAUGAAGAAAACACAAAUACAAGAAAGCUUGAAGAUCAUACAACAAACAACAAGCCAAAGACUCAUAGGUUACAUCUAUAGAUGUAGGACUUUAUUAUAUUGACUUAUAAUUUUAAGUCUUAAGAUGAUUGCCUUAGAUUGAGUCUAGGUUAGGUAAACCUAGGUGGAAAGUCUCACAAGAACUGAAAUAGAACAAGAUUAAAAUUGAGACAUAACAUCUAAAUAUCUUAUGAUAAAUAGGUUCAUGCAUACACAUACAUAGUUUCAUGCAUUAAAGGUAAUAUAUUUUGAAAAGCUAUGUAAAGCAUGUGCAUAUCAUUAAGGUAGUUUAUCAUUCAUUCCUUACAUCAAAGAAAAACAUUUCUAACUCAGUAUAAUCGAUUAAGUAGUUAGUGUAAUCGAUUAUCUCGAAUUCAGUUACUAACUGAUCUGAUGUUGUUAGCACGUUGAUCGAUUAAGAUACCAUAUAAUCAAUUAAGACGUAACUGAAAACUGAUUUUUAACAACUCGUUAAUCGAUUAAAUAGAAGGAUAAUCGAUUAAUAUGAGUAUAAGUAGGAUUAGUAUAAAUCUAUAAAUUCUGUAAUUCUUGCCAAUGUGGCAUAACAUGCAUAUUUCGAAAAUUGUUAGAGAGCAUACAUUUUCAUAGAUUACAUUGCAGUGAGAAAGUGCAUUUAGAAAAACUAUGGAGUGAAAGCAUUCUGAUUUAGGCUUAGAGAUUAAUAUCAUUGCAUAUAGUCUCUAGUUUUCUAUGCAUUGAAUAUCUUGAUUUUUUUGAGAGAUUUGUGAGGAAAAUAUUUUUCUUGAAAGAGUGUGAAUCAUUUUUGGAAAACCUAAUGCAUUAAAUUUCAUUUAGAAUUAGGUUAUUGUGGAUUUUCUGCUUUAUGUUUUAGAUUGAGUUUUCAAUUGUUGAAUCUGAGUAUUAAGUACUCAAGUCAACUCAAUACAUUAUGUUUGAACAAGGAAAUUGAUCUCUUUGUGAAUUGUUUCACUACGAGAGAGAUCUGUGUAAUCUUCUUAGAGGCUAAGAGGUCUUAGUUCGAGCGAUACCAAAGCUGGGGCCGAUCAGGAAAGGAUAGAAGAUCCUAGUAGGCGAUUUAGUUAGGUCAAACCUAGGUUAUCAAGCUCACAGGGGCUAAGUAAGGACCGACUUAUUUUUUAUUUAUUUUGUAAUUGGAAGUGUGUUUUUAAAACUCACAAUUGCAAUAGUUGAAUAAAAUUUUCCCGAGAUCGAAAGAGGAUGCCUGGAUGUAGUUUGCAGUGGACCGUAAAUGAACCAGGAUAAAAUUCCUUGUGCACCUAUUUCUAAUCUCUAAUCUUUUUACUUUCUAUCUUUACUUUGUUGAUUAAUUGUGUUAAAAUGAGUUGCAUGCUAUAAUCUAUUUAUUGUCUUUCUAUAAUCUCAUUAAUGAAUUAUCUGUUAAAGAAUCGAUAAUUGGUAACUUGUUGUGCAAGAAACCAAAGAAUCAAGGCGUGCGAGUGUCAGGAUAAUCGAUUAUCCAUAAGCAUAAUCGAUUAUAUCCGAGCACUAUUUAAUCGAUUCAGACCAAGCAUAAUCAGACCAAGUGAUCUUGGGCACCUAUUUAUCCCUCCCCCUUCUAGGUGUAUUAUGACAUGCUGAUAUCCAAGAAUUCUAUCAUAAUAGCCUCCAAUAACUUAGACUGAACUCCCCCGUCUUGCUCAUUGAACAUAUGAUUAGGGCCAAAAUUGCUGAUUAACUUUGAGUUGCACAUUUCCAAAAUCAUUAAUGUUCCAAAUUUUCAAGUCUUUCUUAAGGUUUCUUAGCUUUUGUGACAGCACAAACAUAGGACAGCCAAAGGCUUUAACUUUCCAACUGUCUUAAACCAGUCUUCUACAGUCAACAUUUUGAAUUUACAUUUUAUGAAAUUUGAAAGAAGUGAGCCUAACUUUAUUUUGUAAAGAAGAUUGAAGCAAAUAGGGUGAUGGUUAGAUGUUAAUCUUGGCAGAGUGCAACAAGAGACCUGAUUCCAACAACUUCGUCAAUCCUCAUUACAUAAAGCCUUGUCCAAUCUCUUUUCAGUUGGAGCAGCACCCCUUCUUCUAUUAGACCAAGUAAAUUGAGCUCCUAAAGUGUUCAAGUGCAAUAAACCUGCAUUAUUAGAAAAGGAUUUGAAUUCCUAGCAGCGAGUUCUAGCAUGUAAUCUCUCACUUCUACACUCAUGAGCCCCAAGGACAAUAUUAAAGUCUCCAAUGCAACGCCAAGGACCAGGAUUAGCAGUGAUGAUAUUUUGAACAUUAUUCCAUAGAGACCUUCUCUAAACAAAACUGUUGUGGGCAUAAACAACAAUGAUGAAGAUAUUUUAGUUAUCAACACUAACUUUAAUAGCAUAUGCUGGUCAGAAUUGACCAAAACUGGAGGAUCAAUGUCAAGCUUACAAAGACCCAAAAUAGAGGGUAACUGAUUACCUCUAUCAUUAUACACAAAAGGCUUUAGCUUCAUUUCCUUCCAAACUAUUGGAUUAACAACAUCAGCAGGGAUCAUUGGUUCAACAAUAAACACCAGAUCAGGAGUAUUUGUUACACAGAGAUUUUUCAGAAAAAGCCUAGUUUUGAUGUUUUCAAAACCUAUGCAAUUCCAGUAUAAAACUCUCAUUGAUUACUCUUUAGGUAGCCACCCCAACGGGUUUGAUGCACUUUUUGUUGGUUACUAUUCUUUAUCAGUUUUUUCUUUUGAGCUUUUGUUAACACUGGUGUGAAUUCCUCCCCCACCUCCUCUGGUUCAUUAUCAUCAACCCAUAACCUCCCUACUAUUCAAAUGCCAUUGGCCACUUCCUGAUUUUCUAUCUUAGCUGUUUCUUGCACCACCAUAUUUUCAUUUGUGGAAAUGUUCAAGUCCUCAUCUUUAGUAGAGUAUUUCCCUCCACUAUCAGAUGUUCUAGUCCCCUUCCAAUUACUUUUUCUCAUUAAAAUUCGUGGAGUGAGCUCCAAUUUCUCCAAAUCCUCCAUAUUUGUACCGCCUCUAUUGUCAAUGUCUAGAUUUAUCAUUAAAUCAUUCAUCUUCUUUGCAUUCAGUUCUUCAUCUACAAGGAUAUCUGCAUGCACCAUCUUACUUCCAACUCCUCUGUUGCCAGAUAAGGAACCUGCACCUCUAUCCUUUUUUUGAUGCUCCACCAACAUUCUUUUUUAUUUGGCUUUUGUGUGGUUCCUCCUCAGCAGUUUUGUUGCUCUCUCUGCCACAGUUGGUUACUUUAUGACCAAUGACUAGGCAACCAUUACAGAAAUCAGGGAGAUUUUCAUACUCAAUUGGCACAAAGAAAACAACCCCUUCCCUUUCAACAAGAAUCUGAUCAGACAACUAAGAUUUAAAGUCAAUUUCUACCAACACCUUUGCAUAGUGUCCAAAAGAUCUGUUACUAGUUGUCACCUCCAAAGAGAUAGGUGUUUCAAUACCAUCUGAUAUAGAGUAUGUGAGCAUAGGGCUCCAAUGCUCUUGAGAGAGGUUAUGGAUUCUAACCCAGCAUUGUGUGUGAGUUAGCUUUUGCAUACAUGGGUUAAAAUCAGGUGUCCAUAAGAACAUUCUGAGAAACCCCAGUUUCAAACUCCAUGAGCCCACUGAGAAAAUUCUUCUCAUAUAUGCCACGGAAGAGAAUGAGAAAUCAUAGAAACUUUUCCCAAUGAUAUCAUUGACCAUGUUCCAACCAUAUUGCACAUUGUUGUUAGUUUACUUUUCAGAUUUGUAAACUUCAAGGGUGACUCUUGCACCUGUUUAACCCUUCUUGAUAUUCAAAUUCUGGGAUUUUUAUAGCAAUUGCAUCCCCUUUGAUACAUGGUUCUGGCAGUUGUGAAGAGGGAAAAUCGCAAGUGUUUCUAAGAGCUUGGAUGAAGGAUUUUUUUUUCCUGUAUUAGAUCUUGAAGCCAAGCGUUGAUUAGUACUUUUUGCUGCGAAAUGGAGCUUUAUCCUCCCCAAUCACACAACUCCAAGGAAUAACAUAUUUUGUGCAAUUCAUAAUGAAGAAUGAGAGUUAAAAACGGAUUGGGUCCAUGAUUCUUGGGUCAACCCUAGCGGAGCAACUUUUUCGCCAUGUGAUUGACUUUAGAUAUUAUAUCAUUCAAGGAUAUAUACUUAACUAAGAGUAAAUUGAAUAACACUUCUUAAUGUAAUAACUAUUAUUUGUAUAAGAGAAAAGAGUUGAAAUAGAAUCAUUCCAUUAUUUAUCAUCUCUCAAAUGUGACCAACUCUAAUACCAUUGAUAAGUUGAAGAAUAAAUAAUUGUACACUUUGUAACAUUAUUUCUUAUUACACAAACUCUCAAAUACAGGAUGCUAAUAGAAAUAUUAUGCAUAUUUUUUAUUGAAAAAAAACAUUUUAUUUUUGUUAAAUUAAAGAGAUAAUUUGAGAACAAUUAAACCCCCUCUCUUAAACCACCACAAUUGCAGCAAACAUAACAAAAAAACAUAACGACAUUUCUAAGCAUGAAAAAAUUAGUGAACCAUGCCAAAACUACAUUUCUCAUAUUCCACUAGCUACUUAGGAACCAUUAUACCAAAAGCUAGGGGAUGGUCCAUGCACAAACAGGUACACAACACUCCAAACCAUGAAGACCCCACAGAUACAUGAAGCCACAAACACAUCUUUAACUUGCAAAAUAGUGAACGAUGCCUUUUCAAAAUAAUAAACCUGCAAUAAAACAAACAAAUACAAAGCCAUAAUUCAUCAUGGAAUGAACAUCCAUGUAUAGAGAUAAAAAAAUUAAAAUUGUACUUCUCAAUUGUAAUUGUGGUCACAAUAUUAUAGUUUUUGAAGUCUCCAUAAAGACAUCGUUAUCUCAAUUAUGGACGUGCUUUUCCAUAAUUUUUCAUAAUAACAGUAAACUCAACAUAACCUUAACCAUAUAAUUUGAAAUAAUUAUAAAGAGUAAUGUAUGCAUGGAAAUGGUGGCCAUAGAUCUAGGUUACACAGAAUCUCUUAGUCCCUUAUAUUGUUCUCUUCAUCUACAUUCAUUGAUUGCCCCAUGUUAUAUAUAUGACUCUCAAGAUGGUUCAAACCAUUGUUGUCCGGAAUACAAUUCUUUUAUAUUCACUUAUCUAAUUUGUAUUUGUUGGUUAUGUAACAAACAAAAGUGCAGAGAGAAAAUGUGUUAUGUAGAAUGCAUUAUCUUAUUCAUCAAUAAGACACAUGAUUUAUACACCAUGGAAAAGAAAACUGACGCAGAAAAAUAAAUUUCUACAUAAAUAGCAUAAUGAGUCACAUAAGUGCUCUAACAUUGUAGGUGAAAUAUUCCUAACUGUUAUAUUGACUCUUUAUUUCCUAAUGAAUACUCCUUAUUUCCUAAUGAAUAGAAACAUAACAGAUUCUGAGUCAUAUUAAUCAACACUCCUCCUUGACUCUGGAGCUGUUAACUUCAAGCUUUUGCCAUAUGCUUAUUCUCAAAACCGUCAAGAUUGAACUUGGUUACGUAAGUCCAUUUGACUCAUAUACCCUUCUUGUGUUUAGGCAUCUCUACCAACUUCCAUGUCUCAUUUUUUCAAUGAUCAUGAGCUCCUCCUUCGUUGCAUCUAUCAAUUUCUGGUCACUUCCAACUUCUUCAUAUUUUGCAACAUCUAAUGGUGUACUCAUAGGUCCUCCAAUAUUUGUGUGUAUCAGUUGCAGCUUCUGUGUAGCCUUCCAUAUGCCUUUUUGCGGAAAAAGAAGCCUUGUAUGCUUCCCAUAUCGGCAGAUAAUGCGUGUAGGAGACUUUGUUUCUAUUUGUUUUUUGUGUAUUGCAACUUGCUCAUCUUUCAUCAAAUCCAAGACAAAACUUUUGCCUUUCAUUUGAACUUUGAACACCUCUCUACUUUCUGAAUCUUUAAUCAUGCAUUUUUUUUCUUCAAACAAAACCUUAUAGCCUUUCAAACAUGUGUAACUUUUAAUUGCAAUUGUUCCUUUGCCUUUUGUUGCAAUAUAUGUCCCAUUUCCAAUUCUGACUUUGGAAAUAGGAGUUUUGUCAAGCUCUAUGAAGAGCUCACGAUCAUAUGUCAUGUGGUUUGUACAACCACUAUCAUUGAGCCAACUUUCUGUAGAACUGUUGGCGUCAAAACAUGAUACUGCGAAUAGUUGCUCUUCUUGUGGUUGAUCAUCAACAAUAUUAGCUUCUCCUUAUUGUUGUUGUUGAUGUUGUUGAGACUUGCAUAUUUUUGCCAUGUGCCUUAACUGACUACACUUAUAACAUCAUGCAUCAUGCCUCAACCAACAUAUGUUUUGUGGAUGAUUAGUUUUUUUGUAGUAUGAACAAGGUGGAAAGACUUCAUUGUUGCUGCUUUGAUUAUUGUAUUUGUUGUUUGCAGAACAUGCAGUUUUGUAGUUGUUAUUUUACCUCCUUCUUUUGUCAUUCCAACCAUUGUUGUUUUGUAAUUUGGUUUGGAAAGCACUCUCCAUUGAUCUUUCUUGCCUCAUAAGCCUCCUUUGUUCUUGUGCUUGUAAUGCAUUUAACAUUUCUACCAAGGUGAUGCUUAACAUAUCCUUAGAUAUUUUCAUAGAUGAAAUUGCAGCUUCAUAUUUUUCAAGAAGUGUAACUAGAAUCUUUUGAACUAAUCUAUAAUCAGAAAAUUCAGUACCAAGAAGUCUUACAUUGUUGGCAAUGGCUAGAAGUUUAUCAGAGUACUCCUUGAUUAUUUCUAAAUAUCUCAUCCUUUGAAUUUCAAAUUCUCGGAUCAAAUUCAUCACUUGCAUCCCUUUGUCCCUUUCAUCUCCCUCAUAUUCUUGCUUCAAAAAAUUUCAUAUUUCACAUGUUGUUUUCAGUGUCAUUAUUCUAUUAAAAAUGGUGGGUGAAAUAGCUGCAUAUAGACAUGUUCUUGCUUUGGACUUUCUUUGCUUCAUCUCCUUCUCAUUUUUAAUUUGCUCAAUAGUUGGAUUGUGCAGAAGAGUUGGAAUGACAUAAUCUUGUUCAGUGGCAUCCCAUAGAUCAUUAGCGUCCAAGAAAGCUUCCAUUCUAACAACUCAUACAUGAUAAUUCUUUCCAGUAAACACUGGAGGUGAAAAUGCAGCAGACACUACUUCUGAAUUCAUUCUGACAAUUUUAGGCAAUAGAAGGUAAUAGAGAAAGUCUUUUGGUUGUGUUUGGUUUUUGUUUUUUCUCACAGAUCCCUCAAGAUAUAGCUUUAGAUACCAAUUUGUUGGUUAUGUAUCAAACAAAAGUGCGGAGAGGAAAUGUGUUAUGUAGAAGGCAUUAUUUUAUUCAUCAACAAGACACAUGAUUUGUACACCAUGGAAAAGAAAACUGAUGCAAAAAAAUAAAUUUCUACAUGAAUAGCAUAAUGAGUCACAUAAGUGUUAUAACAUUGUAGGUGAAAUAUUCCUAACUAUCAUAUUGACUCUUUAUUCCUAAUGAAUACUCCUUAUUACCUAAUGAAUAGAAACAUAAUAGAUUCUGAGUCAUAUUAAUCAAGAGUAUCACUUUCUUCGCUAACGAGGUAGUGUCAUGUUGGGGGCAAAAAACAACAUAUAUUACAAAAUACAUGAAACAAGCUAUGUAUCGAUAUACAACUAAAUGUAUUAUCUCAUUUUAUGACUAGCUAAUAAACUAAUCCUCUUCGGCCUGUAUGAUUUCUCUCCUAAUAAGUGUCGCUCACAUGAAUUGAAUUAUGCCUGUUGGUCUUUCUGGAAUCUAGUGAGACCUUAUAUCACUAAAUCAACACCUUAUUGAUUAAAUAUACAAUUUAUUUGGAUAUAUCAAUUAUCACUUUUUAUAUUAUAAUUAUUGCAAUAUUUUGUUUAAGACGAACUAAGUAUCAUAUAUGCAAUAUGAUGAAUUAGAUAAACAUUAAGUAGGGUUAUCAAGAGAAAUUAUGGAUUUAGUUACAAACAUGUUAAAGAAGUUUUAAAAUAGCAUGAUACAUAUUGCAAAACUACAAGCAACCGGCUGGACCUAGCUUAAAACAUUUAAGAUUCAAAGUUUGAAAGGUUGAAUUGAAUUUCACUACUCUAAUAAUAAGAUAGUUGCUAGGAAUUUACCUAGGAAAUGAAAAAAAUACAUAUAUGAAUCUUCUAUGCCGCAAUUUCCUUUAAUUGUUUAUUGAAUAGUGAUCAUUGAUUAAUUUGAAACACCUAAAAGCUUGUUAUGACCACAGAAAGUGACAUUUUCCAGUGACUAAGACAUUAGUCUGUCAUGGAAAAUCAAAGAGUGGAUUGUGCAUUGUGGAAACAUGUAAGGCGUGUCCAUUGCAAGGAGCAAAGAUUGGGUGCUCAUAUCAACUUUCAAUGUAAUACUAAUAGGAAAAUAUCAAAGCCUGUUUAAUUUCUAAAACAUUAAUGAUGAACACUUUCGGAAAAUUUAUUUCUUUUCUUUUACUAUCACUAGCCAAUUCAAGAAAACACUAUAUUACAAGUAAAAAAAGCUUCUUGAAAUUUAGAAAUAGAUAAAAAAAUUAAAUUAAAUUAGCACCUUAUGGGUAUUCAAAAAUAAGUGCUUCAAUAAAAAAAAUAAGUUUUUCUUUAAAAAAAAUUACUUAACGUAGGGAAUUACAUAAGGUUGCAAUAAUCUAAUUUAGUUUGGAUUUUAUUUUCUUUGUAUUGUAACAUAUUUUUGUUGAAACUUGUAACUUGAAAAAGUUGAAGAAUUUCAGAAUGGAAAAGAUUGAGUGAACUAAUAAUAAGUAAUAAAUUGAGUGAACUAUUAAUAAGUAAUAAAAUAAGCAUAAAUUAAUAGUACAUUUAAAUAAAAAUUAAACUAAAUAAGUUUUAAAUAAUUAUUCUAUUACCAUCAUUCCAACUUGACUUCCCUAAGCAAAGUUGCAUCUUGAAAAUUUGGUAGACCAAAAAGUGAACUAUUUUUGGAGUUUCAGUCAAGUCUGCCUUAUAUGAAGGUAUUUUCAUAUUUAUGAGCAGAUCUUUAAGAAGACAAUUAAAAGUAUGUCAAGAUAAUUGAUCAAGAAGUCUUAUAUGAAGGUGUUUUCAUAUUUAUGAGCAUAUCUCCAUUAAUUUUCCUAUUAUAUUUAUUAUUGACCCAAUAUACGUAAAUUAAUAGUUUAUGGUAUGAUAUCAUCUCCAUUUUUAAAUUUUUGUCUACCUCUUCAUAAAAUUUCACUUGGUAUACUACAUCUUAUACUAAAUCUAUAUACUUCUAAAGUAUAUCUUCACAUUUUCUAGCAUCUCAUUUAAUUUCUUUUUCGAGUUUCCAACUAAGAUUAUCAUCCACAAAACAAAAACAAAUGCAUUCUAAUACUAGUUUUGGAUAUGCUUAGUGAGAAAUUAAGACCAAUGUAAAUAAAUAGAUGCUUAAUGUUGACCCUUGGUGUAGACUUAUGGUAAUAAGAAUAUGUUGGUCUUGGUCAUAUCAUACAUAUCAUUGAUUACUUAAAUAUAGACAAUUCAAAUGAAUUUUUUCUCUAGAGUUUUUUACAAAGCCUCUCUAGGCAUCUUAUCAUACGUCUUCUCCAAAUAAAUGGAGACCAUGUAUGUCAAUCACCAUAGCAAGUAUAUAAUAUCUAUGGUCGACUACCUCGACAUAAAAUAAAAUUCAUUUUUAUGAUAUUCGACUCUUGUCUCAACCUUCUCUUAAUUAUUAUCUCUCAUAGUUUUGUAGUAUGAUUCAUGAGCUUAAUCUCCCUAUAGUUUGCACAAUUUUGUAUGUCAUCUUUGUUUUUAAUCCCCAUCUACUUGUCUAGCAUUUUCCUAGAUCUCAUGAUCUCAUUAAAUAACUUUGUGAGUCAUCUAAUAUCCUGUUUAAUCUCAUAUAACCUUUUGGGCUUCAUUAUGUAUAUUAUCUGGUCUAACUGCUUUGUCAUUUUCCAUUACUUUUGAAACUUCUUUCACCUUCAAUUUCCAAAUUCCAUUAUAAUUAAAAAGUAUAAUUUGAUCCUUUGUGUAGUAUAUCACACAUCAAUAAAUUUAUGUACCUCAUUCAAAAGUUCCUUCAUAUUUUUGUCUUUUAUCAAGAAUUUUUAUCUUUGUCUUUAAUAUAUUUCACUUGUUUGAAUUCUCUUAUCUUUUUUCCCUACCCUUCACAUGUGUAGACACUUCCCUCCCCUCCUUCAUACCUAGAGAUUUGGAAAAUUUAUAGAUGUGGUGCACCUUGACCGAAAAAUUAUGGUUUUGGUGCACCUUUUAGAAAAAUUACACAACUGGUGUAAUUUUAUAGAAAUCGGCAAUUCCAUUGCCGAUUAAUAUAUUUUUUUUCUCUCUCCUCCCCAAAAUCGGCACUGGGGAGGGAGUUUCAUUAAAAUAAAUUUUUUUUAAAACUCCCCCUAAAUCGUCAAUAAGGGGGAGAUUUAUAUUAUUGAUUUUUUUUUAAUUUUUUUCUAUCCCCUAAAUCGACAACCGGGGAGUUUUUGAUUUAUUUUAACUUGUGGGAGUUAUAUUAUUAGUUUCAGGGUUUAAUUUUUCAAACACAAAUCCUAACAACACACAACAUAAUAAAUUUUGUCAACCCUAACCCUAAUAACAGAACACAAUAAUGAAAAACACAAAAUUUAUUAGGGUUAUUAGGGUUAGGGUUGACAAAAUUUAUUAUGUUGUGUGUUGUUAGGAUUUGUGUUUGAAAAAUUAAACCCUGAAACUAAUAAUAUAACUCCCACAAGUUAAAAUAAAUCAAAAACUCUCCGGUUGCCGAUUUAGGGGAUAGAAAAAAAAAAUAUAAAUAUAAAUCUCCCCCCUAUUUAGGGGGAGUUUAAAAAAAUAUUAUUUUAACUGGGGGAGGAGAGAGAAAAUAUAUAUAGAAAUCGGUAAUGGAAUUGCCGAUUUCUAUAAAAUUACACCAGUUGUAUAAUUUUUCUAAAAGGUGCACCAAAAUUGUAAUUUUUCGGUCAAGGUGUACCACAUCGGUAAAUUUUCCCUAAAGAUUUAUAUAACUCACCAUAUAUUUCAUCUUUAGUUUCGCUUACUACUUCUUUACUCUCUUUUUUUAGUUACAUUGUAUUUUCCACAACUUUCAGAUUCAGAAUUCUAUUCUAUUCUAGAUUCAGAAUAUUACGCUAGCUGUCCAGGUGCAUACAUCCAGAGCAGAUCAAACCUUUGGAAAUUGGUAGAUAUCAUUUUCGAGGGUUCCACCAUAAGGUAAGACCCACUUCCUUACUAAAAUCUAAACAAAUUUAUUAACAAAGAUUUAAUUUAUUAUUACGGCAUUAAUUUUUUAAUGCCAAAUUUCUAUUCAACUUAACUGGUCUUGGAAAUAUUCCAGCUGAGAAAUUUCUUCCCUAAAAUCUUAGACUAAACCCAACUUUUUAUAUACUUCAUAAGCAAAAUUUUAUUACAAAGAUUGAAAAUAGAAAUUGUAACCAUUGUCGAGGUUUUAACGUUAAUAAUAACUUAAUACUCACACUCCAUGUCACAGAGUUCUAUCAACUAAGUAAUAUAUCGAAUUCAAACCAAACUCAAUUAAUAGUCUAUUAGACCGAACUCAGUUGACUAAUUAAUAAUGAAACAGUGUGGUGAGUAAUUUAAUGAACUCCUAUGAUUUGAUUUAAUACUCGGCACAUGAAUCUAAAAGCACUCAGUGCAAGAGCCCGUGCAAUAAAAGAAUAUCUCAAUAUAUACACUUUUAUAGAUUACUUAUAUUAUAUUAUAUUAUAUAUAUAUAUAUAUAUAAUUUUUUGUGUUAAUAAUUCUUUUAUAAGAUUAAAAAUUAUUAUAUAACUUACCCAGAGGUUGCUUAUAAAAUGAGAGCAAGGUCAGUUUAAUUAUCACUUUAGUUUAAUAAUGAACCAAAAUUUAACUAAUCCGGAUGAAUUAAUAUGUUAAACGGAUUGACCCACCUAAAAUAAGUAAAUAAACAAAUAAAAAUACCUUAAAUAUGUUUAAAGUGGGGGUAUAAACAAGAAUACAUAAGCAUUUUACUAAUUAGUUUGUUAAUUCACCAAUUAACUUGUUGGAAAUAUAUGAAUUGUGUUUAUAGGCCACCACUCAAUUGAAUCAAGACAUAUAAAUUGCGUUAAAAUAGAUAAAAUACUAAAAAAAUCAUAGGACAAAACUUGAAAUGACUAUGAAGUUGUGGCCCAAAACUUUAUUUAAUGGCUCUCUUAUCUUAUAUAUGAUAGUGUUCUUAAAUCAGAAAGUGCUUUAAAACAGUGAAUUUUUUCCAGCAUCGAAUGUUUUGGCCAAGUUUACACAUCACCAAUUCUAAUCCCGAAAUAUGUGAAAACAUAAGGAUUUUGAUAUCCCAAUAUGACCAAAAGGUCAAAUGUUUAAUUCUUGGGAACGAUACUUAUUGAGAGAAGCAUACAUCCUGAAAAAGAUUAGUUCAUUAUCCCUAGGAUGAAAGGAUACCAUUUGUAUAGUACAAAAAAUACAUAAAAGUAUCAGGAAGAUGGACACAAAUUCACCAAAUAAAAAAUAUUCAUGUUAGUGCUUAUAAAUUAUUUCUGUUACUAAACACUAGUUACAAGUAGUUUUCUUACAUAAUGGCGUCAAGUCUUUGAUAUGGAUAAAAUGCUACCUAAUUGUAAAAAACAUAAAAAAAUUAUCAUCAUUAGUACAUACCUCUUUGUAUUACUAGUUUGAAAUGAACCAAAAAAAGAAAGUACCAAAACUCUAUGUAAGAGGUUGAAGGGUAUCAUGUCGUAGGAAGAUAGUACUGACUAUAGCUAUACCACAGUUGGUACUAUCACUCCUGCGACAAUACACCCUUAACCGCUGGUGUUGUUUGUGUUCCUUUGUUUUCAUUCAUUAUAUGUCAAGACAUGCAUGCAUAUAUAUAGGCUUCAAGUGUAGUGUGAGCAACAUGGGUGUUCUGUCUUUUCUUCAUUUUUUAUUUUUCUCUUGUUAUAUAACUUUAACCACGUGUAUGGAAUUGCUGAGAAGUUGCCACAAUUUGGAAAAUGAAAAUUGUGGUGGAAAGGUUCCUAGUUUGGAGGCUUAAUUCUACAUCAUUAUUUCCCUAAAGAAACUUUCCAAGCAGCUUACAUUGAUUAGAAGAUAGUAGUUGAAAGAAAUAUAUUCAUUAGGUUCUAGGAAGUAGCACUUAUUUCACUUGGUCAAACGAAAAUAUUGGAAAAAAAUUGCAUGCAUUCGGAGGAAUAAUCUGUUAGGAAUGUAUAGGGAUGACAACUGGACGAAACGAACACGAGUAGUGUUUUCCUAUACCCAUAUAUACAAUUUGUAGGUACUCACAUAGGUAGUGAGUAUUUUAUGGGUAGUGUUUUCCCAUAUAUAAUAAUUAUUACACGAGUAAUAAAAUAUAUAUACAUAAAUUUAUCAUUAUAUUUCAAUUACUAAACUUCAUUAUAAAAUAAUAACAAAUAGAUAGUGUAUAAUUAUAAAUAAUAAAAAGUGGAAUAUGCAUAAAUUAUUUAAUUAAAAAACUAAAUUUAUAAAUACGUAGGAAUCCGUGGAAUAGGUAUCAUGAUACAUGUUCUCAUCCAUAAUAUAUUUUUACAUGUACUCGUUACGAGUAUUUUAGUCAGUACCCAUAGGUCUAGGAAUGGCAACGGGGCAGGUCAAGGUAGGUCAGGGUCGAGUUUGCAUAUACCCGAACCCGAAAUUAAAAAAUCGGAGCCGAACUCUACACGGUUGAAAAUAAAGAUAUCAUCCCCAAUCCCGUUAGGUUUCGGGUAACCCAAACCCAAAAAUUAUAAAUGUACUAAGGAAAGUAUGAUAUCAUCUUCGUUUCAUUUUUCUCAACCAUUUCCAAUUUCUCUUGUAUUAUUUCAUUUCUUUUGUGUUUGAAGAUCCAAUAGUAUGUAAAAUAAAAUUAGAAAUUAAAAACAAUGACGCAUGAGAAAUUUCAAAUUUAAAUUGAAUUAAAUUACUUUGGAGCAGGUUUGAGUUAGUGUCUUUGUUCUACCAAACCUGAACCCAAAAAUUAAACUAGGGUAAAACCCGAACCCGAACCUAAUCACAUCGGGUUUUCCCGUUAAAUUCAGGUUCGGUUCGGGCGAGUACCUACAGAUUCGAUUUUCAUUGUCAUCUCUACACUAGUCAAGUAUUUUUAUCAUCCCUAAAAAUAUAAACCAGAUUUGGGAAAUUUAUAUAUAAUAGACUAAAAGAAUAUAUAAUAAUUCAUAAAUUUAACUAAGUUCAAUAUCACAUUUUAACUUAAAACCGACAAUAGGCUUAUGUAUCUAUAAGGAUUAUAAAUUAUCUAUGAUUACUUCAACAAAUUCACUUUGACCACUACAAUCCCCCAUUCUUGUGGAAUCCCAAUAUUAAUUAAUGUUCCUCUUGGAAGCCCUAAUUUGACUCAUUUAAUUAAACUCUAUUUUAGACCUGGUUAUAUGUAUAAAUAGAAAGGUGGAUGAGUAGAGAUAAUGUCUCUCUUAAAAUAUAAACAAAGAUAUAUUUUUAUGAGACUAAUUUUUUUUUAAAAAUAACAGAUUUUAUUUGAAGAAACGAAGUUAGUUUUACAAAUGGAGAAAAGUGACAUGUAUCUAAAGUUAAAGAGUAUGCUAAAAUAAGUAGUUUAUGUUUAACUUAGCAAAGAAUUUGUUGAAAUAUGAUGUUGGUAAAUUAUAAGUAUUCUAAAGGUCUUAUAAUUGAAUGGAUUUAUAAAUCUAACAUCUUAAUCUUUUAAACUCUUAAAUUUGGGCACCUUUAACUUCAAUUAUAACUGAUAGUUCAAAUAUACACGAGUAUUAAUGUGACAGUAAUGACAUAAUUCAUUGGAUUCUUUAUUUCGAAGUCUUCCAUAUAUUUAUAGUUUGAAUGAAGUUCAUAACUAUUUAGUUCCACUCAUCAACUUGAUUGAUUCAAUUUAUCAAUUCAAAUGAUAAUUAUUUAUUUUAUAUAUAAAAAUUUAAGAUUUUGUACACAUAUACAUAGAAAUAUAUUGGAUAUAUAUAUACAGUUACACUCAUAUAUAUAUAGUAGAGUUAGUUGAUGAAUAUAACCAGUCAAACAGUAUUUGGCUUAAGUUCGACUUGUUUAUUCAAUAAGUUUAAUUUUUAUUCAUUUGUUUCAUGAACUAAGUUUAUCGACUAAAUAAUAAGUCAAGUUUUAAAUAGAUGACGAGUUGGUUCGAUUUAUUAGUAAUCAUAUAUAACGGAAAUUGAGGAGUAAAAGUGGGUAAUAAAAACUAUGUGAUUAUUAGGGUCAUUUUAGUAACAUCAAUUUAAAACUAAAAAUAAUAUCUCUCUCAUCCCUCUUUAUUCCCCCAUCCCAUCCCUCUUUCUUCCCCUCCCCUCCCCUCUACCUUCUCACCUCACUUCAAACUUAUCCAUAUCUCUACUCUGGUUAUCAUAUGUCCACUUAGAUUAAUUGAAAAAAUUUCCUUGUGAUACUUUUAGCAAAUCGAACAAGGUUUGUAAGCAAACCUUUUUUAUAAUUUUUAUAGUGGUCACUGGUGACUAUAUGAUGUGCAAAGUCAUUUUUCUUUAUACCACUUUUCAACUUUGUGGAAGAAAAAUGGGGUUACAAGUUUUAUGUUUAGAAUAAGGUGAGAAAGAGGGAUAAGGUGUUAGAUAUUUAUGGAACAGAAAGUGCACCGUAUCAUCUAAGUAAUAAAGUCCGGUAAAAUAUGUGGAUAUCGUCUUCAGAGAGCAGAGUAGAUUUACACUAAUUACUACAAUAAUAAAUUGAGUAUAUAUUUACAAUAAUGGUUUUAUGAAAUUUUGUAAUUGCUUGUGUAAAAUCAUAAAUUGAACUAAAAACAAUUAAAAUAAAUUGGGAUCGAAACGCCUUGUUCUUUCCCAUUGAUAUGCAUGGAUUCAAUUUCAAGUAACUUCUAAAGUUACUGAUUCAGAUGCACAUUUCAUUCAAAUCAUUCACAUCAAUCCAUUGAGUGUAAAAUCCUUAGAUAAUCACUCAAAUAUCAAUUCCUUGGAUAUUUGACCGAUUAACUAGCAUUAAGUUCCAUGUAAAAGCAAUUCAUGCAUCAUUGUCCAUUCCUAGAGCAAUGAUGUAUGAAAGAAGAUGAUACAGGUUUGGUAUCAAGUUUAACUUUUCAAUUAAACUUGAACCCAAGAACAAGAAAUUAGUAGCAAAGUAAAUUCAUGCAUUAAGAACGAGAUAAACUUCUCAAAAUCAAAUAACAAUUACAAUAGAAUCGAAUCCAGGAGUACAAAGGUUAGAAGAUUACAUUUCAAAACCCACAAUAAGACCUAUUCACUCAUCCUCGCCUUUACAAUGCUUGAAUCAUGAGAUUAUAAAAGGAAAUACGAAGUAUAAUCGUUUCCAUGAUUUCUAUCUUAAUCUCCCCGUGUUUCUCUCUAUUUUCGUGCCAAAAAUGCUUCAGAAUUGUUUCGAGAACUUCCUAUGCUGUCCAGAACUGCUUAUAUCAAGUUCCAACUGCUAUUCUCUCGCUCAAGCUAGGGAUUCUCGCUUGAGCGAUAGAAAAUGUCAUUCCCUCACUUGAACACUUCGCUUGGGCGAGGUGCCCUCGAUUUGGCGAGGGAAACACAGAGCCUAAUUGAAUUUUGGCCCCCAAUUAUCGCUUGAGCGACAGUCCCUUGCUUGGGCGAGGGACAACAAUAUUUUCUGAUGAUUUUCUUUUGAAUUAUGGCUUGAGCGACCAUUUCCUCGCUUGGGCGAGGCUUGUGUUGUUCAGAAAAUCAUUCUUCUCUUUUUUUCUCCUUUGUUCAUCAUUUCAUAACCUUUAAUCAACAAAACAUAAUUAAAUUCCUGAACAAUACAAGAUUAACUAAGUUAUGAGGAAUUGUACGCAAUUAUAGCAUAAAUACGUAUUACGUGCCCCAAAAUCAUAUACAUUUCCUUAACAAUAUGUCACUUAACAAACUCCCUCCAACCUAGAAUCUUGCGUGUCCUCAAGCAUAGUAACAAAGUGCAGUUUGGUUCAAAGUAUAUGGUUUUUAAAAAAUAAUCAUUCAUCCAAUCAUGGAAUGGCUAGAAUCAUUCACAUACUAUUCACAAAGACCUAUUUCAUGAUCAAUCAUAGUGGACCAAGUUCCAACUAAUAACAGAAUGCAAAUGCAGUUCAAUUUCAAACAGAAUAGCAAGAAUAACUACUCAGUUUAAUCAAAGGAACUCUAUCGAUCUCACAGGUUAUGUGUUUCACUCAUCUCUUUGUUGGACCCCAAAAAAUUUGACUUUGCCUUUUAGUUUAAUCAAACCAUGUACACAAGUUCAAUCAUGAAUCUUAAGGACUUUAUCAGGGUUGUAAUGAGGCCUGGCUACAAAGAAUACUGGUUUUUCUAGGAUUCAAAAAGGGAAGUAUACCAUUAGUGCAUACUUACCGUUUUUUCUCAUGUUUCCUUUCCAAUUUCUUUGUACCAUGUUCUUUUUUAUCAACCAUUGGAUUCUCUUUCUUCAACCGACUCUUUUCUUUUGAGUCACUACUUUCUCACAUGAUUUAUUUUUCACUUAUUUGUUUCUUUUCGUUGCUUCACGCUUUACCAUUUAACACAUGGUUGAAGAAAAAGUCUUUUUGAUUUCACUACCCUCAUAAACACAGACUUCAUUCACAUUGCCCAACAAGACUCAUAUGCACUAAUGAUCUCUCUCCAAGGGUAUAGGAAUUGAUACAUUUCGAUGUGGCUUUGGUGCAUAAUUUUCACACAAAAAAUUCAGCUCAAAGGGGCUAACAAAAAUCAUAUUCAUAAUUCAUCCGGGUAGGCUUUCUACCUCUAGUUCAACUAUCCUAAACUAAGCAUUAAUCAUUUCCCUGCUUAAUGACAAUAAUAAAUUAGGCAAAUUUCAUUGGUGAAAUCCAGCAAAGACACUUAUUUGUGUUUGGGUGCACUCUCUCACCCGAUUAUAGGCUUUGUCCUUUAACUAAACUGCUUAUUAUUCAACCUAUUCGGUAUGUGUCUGAAUCAAUAUCUACAUCUUGAAAUAGUCAAACCUUAGAACCUUAAUCAUUCAUAGUCACAUAGUCUUAUCCCAAAAUUUCAUUCACAUGUUUCUAGCACAACACAAUUGGACAACAGUAAACACAUUUAACUAGACAUAAUUUCACUAACUAUACAUUUUGUUAUUGAACUGGAAACAAACAACAUACAAUAGCAAAACACAUAACAAUUACUCCUACAUCAUAAACAUACAUUCUAAACAAUGGUCCUAAACAUACAUCCUAAACAAACCUACACAUACAUCCUAAACAUUGAAACAUAAACAACAACAAAAUAAAGGAACCAGUUUCCGCCUAUAGGCUCAUCAGAAUAUGAAAUCCAUAUCAUCAUCUUCAUGAUCAUCACCCUCUACGGCUGUAGCUCCAUCUCCAGUGGUUCUAGAAGGUUCUGCCCCCUCCGGAAAGAUAGGCCUGACCCUAGGCCAAGGGAACUGCUGGAUAAAUGUAUCUGUGGAACCUUGAAAUUGGUUCCUCGGAACCAAGACUAGAAUGCAACAAACAUCCCUUGGUGAUGGAACACCUGCCCUUGAUGGAUCAUCUCAUUUUGGAGCUCAAGGUGCUCUGUAUACAAUCAGAGUUGAUUCAACUGAUCCUAGAUGGGUAGCUCUUGAGAUGGUGCCGAGUGAGGCAUAUGUGGUUGUUGAGGUGAGAAUGGUGGUUACUGAAGUGGAGAUGACUACUGUUGAGGUGCCUCUGGCUGAUUAGACAUGUCACCAUGUUGAGGACCAGACUCCUCUUUGUAGUUAUGACUGAUGUACUGCAAGGUGAUCAUGAGUUUGAUCUUCUCAGUUCUGUUAACCUAAACCCCUUGCUGAGAAUAGAAUUCAGUGAUCAAUGAUGGGAACCCAAAGAUCCCUUCUUUCCAGUCCUAACUACAGUCUUGGACAUCUCUCACACAAUGAUCUUAGCCACAUAAAUCGUCAUACCUUUCAAGAUUGCAUAGAUGAGACAAUAAUCAGAUAGAGGCACAUAUGACACGUGACUGUUUGGAAUCACGUUGUAGAGCAGAAAAAUCAUGUAGACCUGAGCCAAAGUGGUCAUAUGCUUCCUAUAGAUCCAGAGGGGUUGUCCAUCACUAUUGGUGUUGUAUGACCUUCCAGCCAAACAUAGUAGUGUAGUAGUGCCUCUGUUAGUGAACUCACUAUUGGAUUCAGCAUAAUAAUACUAGCACAAGCCACCCUUCUAUGCCUCAAAUGAGUUGUUCAGCAAGUCAUUGACAGCGUCUCUAUCAAACAGGGUGAUCUUCCCCUUGACCCAAGACUUGUAGGCAAUUUCUUUCCCAUUUAGUGAGUAGGAAUUGACAUAGAAUUCACGAACGACAUCAGGGUCGAACUUGUCAUUUAGGGUAGCCAAUGCCCACCAUUUCAGCUCAGUCAGGGGUGUUGUGAAAGUGUGGUAUUCAUCUGAUUCCAUUACCACCCUUCUUUCAGGAAUGAAAACCCAAUUGAGAAGAAGGGUGUAUCGCUCAUGUUUCCCCUUUAUUUUGAAUAUAGUACGGUCAAACUCUGAGGGGGGCUGUGAAAUUGAUGCUCCUUUCAACUUCUUAGGAGAGGGGUUAUUUUGAGCCAGUGUCUUUUUCCUCCUGUAAUACAACAAAACCACACAAUCAAUGACAUUACCACAAGCAACCACAUUGAACAUUAUAAUCACUCAUGAGUGUCACAAUUAUGAACUAAACUUGGGUUUCCCACUUAGAAAUGUGGAUUCUCUUGAUGAUGACACUUAUGGUUCCACGACACAAUGCAAAGCAACAACAAUGUAGCAUCAAGAGCGCCUAAUCUAUCCUAAAUAUGCCUAAAACAAGUGAAACUUAACACCAUGCACAAAUAAGAAGAUAAUAAAGUCAAGAAUGCACUUAAAUUUCGCUCAUGAUGCAAUGGUGGAGUGUGUGAGCUAGAUUAUGCAGAAGAUGUGAUUCAAACCAUUGGAUAGGGCACAAGAUAUGAGUUUCUCGUGUUCUUUGUAAUGGCGAUGUGAGGGAGUGAACCCCACAGCUCCCUAUUGAAAACGAAACUUGUGCCCUCUCGCCCAGGCGAGGGACUCUCGCUUGGGGAAGCCACCAAUAAUUGAAAGGUCUGUCAUCCUCGCCUAGGAGACCAAAAGACAGAGAGCAACCAAAUUAAUAUCGUCUGGGUGAGGCUUGUCUCGACUGAGUGAGGGACCUAGUACUGGAAGGUCACCUUCCUCGUAUGGGCGAGGCAUUUCUUGCCUGGGUGAGGGUUUUCUCGCCUGAGCGAGGAACAUGGUACUAGAAGGUCGCCUUCCUUGCUUGGGCGAGGGACCUGGCACUGAAAGAUCCUUCUCCUCGCCUGGGCAAAGUGUGCAUCGUCUGGGCGAGAAUUGCCCAUAAAUUCCUCUUUUUUUUACACACAGAUUACAAACUAAGCAAACGGAAAAAUAAAACUGGAUUGUCUUAUAGUUAGCGCUUGCUUAACAUCAUUAGCUCGUCGCCUGUUCUGUUACGUAUAUGAUAAGUUGAUGAUUGUGGUGAGCUGCUCGACGCCACCACCCAAGUAAGGUCUCACCCUCUGGCCAUUGAUUAUUCAGCUUCUCUGAGACGCAAGGUCUUGCAAUUUGAUCGCUCCAUGCGAUUUAACUUCCUUAAUUAGGAAGGGUCCUGACAAUUUAAACCUCAGUUUACCCAGAAACAACUUUAUUCGGAAGUAAACAACAACACACUCUGACCCACCCAUAAGUGUUUUUGACGGAUCUUCCGGUCAUGAUACAACUUCAUCUUCUCUUUGUAUAAUUUGGAGGAUUCAUAAGCAAUAAGUCUCAUCCCCUCCAAAUGUUGCAACUAAAGCUUCAUUUGGUCAUUUGCUGCUUUGGGAUCCAGAUCGAAGAACUUGAGGGCCCAGAAUGCCUUAUGCUCAAGCUCUAUAGGCAAAUGACACGCCUUCCAAUAUACCAGUUGAAAAGGGGAUAAUCCAAUGGGUGCUUUGAAUGCUGUUCGGUAGGCCCAUAGUGCAUCAUCUAAUCGAAGAGACCAAUCUUUCCUUGUAGUUGACACAGUUUUUUCCAGAGUUAUCUUGAUCUCUCGAUUGGGCACCUCUGCUUGUCCAUUUAUUUGCGGAUGAUAAGGUGAUGCUACCUUAUGUCGGACCCCGUAGUGUUGUAGGACCUUCCCCAAUUGUACAUUGCAGAAAUGUGAUCCUCCAUCACUAAUAAGUACCCGAAGUGUGCCAAACCGACUGCAUACAUUCCUCUUCAAAAACAUGGUCACAGUCUUGCAUCAUCCUUUUGUGCAGCUACAACAUCUACCCAUUUGGACACAUAAUCCACUGCCACUAGAAUGUAUACUUGUGCGCACGAUGGUGAAAAUGGUCUCAUGAAGUCAAUCCCCCAACAAUCAAACACCUCUAUUUCCUGAAUGUUGGUCAAUGGCAUCUCAUUCCUCUUCGAGAUCCCGCCCGAUCUCUGGAAUUUAUCAUACUACUGUGCAUAUUGAUGUGCAUCCUUUAAUACAAAAGGCUAGUAGAAGCCAGAUUGGAGGACUUUUCUAGUUGUCAUCUCUCCAUUAAAGUGCCCUCCGUAUGACGAAUUGUGAUAGUGUCAUAGGAUGCUCUUAGCCUCUUCUUUAGAUACACACCUCCUCAAUAAUCCAUCUGACCCAAACUUAAAAAGAUGAGGGUCGUCCCACACAUACUGACGGGAAUCUCGCAGGAACCUUUUCUUCUAGUGUCAAGUCAACUCUUCGGGAAUCACCCUUGCAACUUUAAAGUUAGCCAUGUCAGCAAACCAUGGCCUUUCCUAAAUCAAGAGAAGCUUCUCAUCAUAAAACUCACUGACUCUCUCACUAUUACCUCUUUAUUGACCACUCUCGACAGAUGAUCUGCUGCACAAUUUUCGCUCCCUUUCUUAUCCUUGAUCACCAAGUCGAAUUCCUGAAUUAACAAAAUCUAGCGCAACAAUCUCGACAUGGGAUCCAAUUUGGUUAACAUAUAUUUAAUGGCAGCAUGAUUAGUGAAAAUUAUAACUUUUGAGCCAAUCAAAUAAAAUCUAAAUUUUUUCAAAGGCAUACACUAUAACUAGUAAUUCUUUUUCAGUUGUGGCAUAGUUAACUUGUGACUCAUUUAAUACUUUACUACCAUAGUGUAUAGCAUGGAAAACUUUAGCCUUUCGAUGUCCUAGUACCAUGUCGACGAUAUAGUCACUAGCAUCACACAUAAGUUCAAAAUCAAGAUGCCACUCGGGCGCUAUUAUAACAGGAGCAUAAAUCAGUUUUUAUUUCAAGGUUUCAAAAGAUCUUACACAUUCAGCAUCAAAAUGCAAAACAAUAUCUUUAAUAAGAAGAUUAUUGAGUGGCUUUGAAAUUUUGAAAAAAUCUUUUAUAAACCUUCUAUAGAAACCUGCAUGUCCAAGGAAACUCUGAGUUUCCUUGACAUUAAGUGGUGGUGGAAGGUCCUUGAUGACCUCAAUCUUUGCCUUGUCAACUUCGAUGCCCUGGGAAGAGAUCUUGUAUCCUAAGACCGCUCCCCCAGUCACCAUGAAGUGACACUUCUCCUAGUUCAGUACCAUAUUUGUCUCAAGACAUCGUUGCAGAACGAUGUCCAAAUUUGCCAAACAACUCUCAAAUGACGACCUGAAGACCGAGAAGUCAUCCAUAAACCCCUCAAUACACUGCUCCACAAGAUCAGAAAAAAUAACUAACAUGCACCUCUGAAAUGUUCACGGUGCCAUCUUCCUAUAUGCGAAGACACCAAAAGGACAAGUGAAAGCUGUUUUUUUCCUAGUCUUUGGGAUCCAUAGUGAUCUGAUUAUAGCCAGAACAGCCAUCCAGGAAGUAGUAAAAUGAUUGUCCAACCAAUCUCUCAAUCAUCUGGUCCAUGAAUGGUAGAGGAAAGUUAUCUUUGUGAGUAGCCUGGUUCAACUUCUGAUAAUCAAUGCACAUACACCAUUUAGUGAUUGUUCUGGACGAGAUCAAUUCAUUCUUAUCAUUCCUAACCACAGUCAUACCCACUUCUUUGGGACCAUCUAAACUAGACUCACCCACUUGCUAUCAGAUAUAGGAUAAAUCAUCCCAACAUCCAAUAGUUUUAUCACUUCCUUCUUCACUACUUAAGUCAUAGUGGGAUUAAGACGCCUGUGAGGUUGUGCCACCGGUUUGUAAUCUUCUUCCAUAUGGAUCUUAUGCAUGCAAUAGGAAGGACUGAUUCUAUGCAAAUCAGCUAGUGUCCACCCUAUCGCCCCUGCAUUCUUCCUCAACACUGCAAUUGAUAGUUGUUCUUCAUCAAAUGAAAGGGUGCUGCUGAUGAUUACCGGUUUCUGCCCUCAAUAUUCUAAUAAUACAUACUUCAAAUACGAAGGAAUUGUUUUCAACUACAUAUUUGGAGCCUGAGAUGUCUUCUCUUUACCCAACUCUUCAAUGUGAUUAUGAUUAGAUACAACCUUGCGGGGUGCAUCCAACUCUACCAAACAUGUUUUGAUCAUUUUAUCCUCCUCCAUACUACUUCCUUCUAGGUCUCCCCUCAAUACCUUCUCCAAGGGACUACUUCUAUUCAAGUGAAUGUCAUCAAGCAUGAAUAAGUCAUCAAUGACAUCCACUCGAAAUUAGUGUUGCUUGUCCCUCGGAUGCUGCAUAGCUUCAAACACAUUAAAAUUAACCUCCUAGUCAUCAACAUCAAUAAUAACUCGGGAAGUCUUCAUGAAGGGUCUGCCCAAAAUAAGAGGAACCUUCUUAUCAUCCUCAAUAUCCAUGAUGACAAAAUCCACAGGAAAGACUAACCCAUCUACCUUCACCAAAGCAUCAUCUGCAACUCCAUAAGGAUACUUGACAGAUCUAUCAGCAAGUUACAAGGUCAUCCUGGUAGGCUUGAUCUCCAAAUCCUCAAUCCUCUUCAGCAUAGAAAGGGGCAUCAAAUUAAUGUUGGCACCCAAUUAAGCAGUGCCUUUUCCAUAGAUAAUUCACCAAUAGUGACUAGAAUAGUGAAGCUGCCCGGAUCUUUAGUCUUCUCAGGCAAAGACUUCUGAAUGAUAGCACUGCACCCAGCUUCGAAGGUCACUGUCUCUUCUGAGAACUUUCUUUUCUUUGUCAACAAGUCCUUCAUGAAUUUGGCAUAGAUAGACAUUUGUUCCAUCGCCUCCAUGAAAGAAAUGUUGAUAUGGAGGUUCUUGAAUAAAUCCAAGAACCUAGCAUAUUGUCGCUCAUUAUCUUUCUUGGAAGGUCUCUUUGGAUAAAGGAUAUCCUUCAACUGAGGUAGGUUACCCUUCCUUCUAUUAUUGUUCUCCCUUUUAUGAUCCUCAUUAGUAGCUACCCCUUCCUCAUCUUGUAUCACAUCACCCUUCUAUGUCUCUCUGAUUACCUUCUCUGAUUUUCUAGCUUUAAUCACUCUCAAAACCUCUUCCUUAACUGCUAAGUUCUCACUAAUACCUCUACCAAUGACCUUACCACUUCUAGUAGUGAUAGAUUUAUAGUGUUCUUUUAAAUUUGUUUGAGUGUUGGCGGAGAAUUAUUGUCGAUCUGAAUUCUGUUCUGCCAUUUUUAUGGUUUGAAAUGGAGACUUGCAUGAAUUUCUUUAAUGUCUCUUCCAACUUUGUCUGCCUCUCAUGUAAUGGUGGAUGUAGACCUUGCUGAUAAGAUGGUUGAUAAGGUAGUUGCCUGUUAGAUGGUCCUGCUUCCUGCCUCCACCCAAAAUUCUGGUCCUGGUUCUGGUUUCCCCUUCAACCCUGUGAAAACUGAUUAUUGAACGAAGGGUUGUUAGGGAAAUUACCCUGAAGAGGUUGAUUGUUAACAUACAGAACCUCAUAUUCUUGUGUGUUGGUAGGCAUUGAGCAAUGGCCAGUAACAUGAUCACCCCCACAAAACUCACAGUGUAGCACUUGUUGAUGAACUGAGGGAAUUUGUACCACAUUUAAUUGUUGAGGCAACUUGGACAUUUACUUUGUGAGUGCCUCAAUCUGUUGUGUCAGAAUCUUGUUCUGAGCCAGAAUGACAUCAGAAGCAUUCAAGUCUAACACAUAUCUCUUAUGUAUUGUCCUUCUAUUAUGCUGAGCUUGCAUAUCUGUAGCAGAUAAUGUAAUAAUAAUUCUAGUAGCUUGCUCAGCAUCCACUGUCAUCAUAGUGCCACUAGCUGCGACAUCCAAUAUCAUCUUAGUCUAUGGCUUCAACCCAUUACAGAAAAUAUUUAGUUGGUCAACAUCCUCAAACCCAUGGUCGGGACAUUUCCUCAGCAACACUGGAAACAUUCUCAUGCCUCAUAAAAAGCUUCUUCUGCACCUUGUCUGAAUGUUGAAAUUUCAAACAUCGCAUGCACAUACCUCGGCGGAGGAAAAAAUCUUGUCAAGAACUUUGUUUCCAAAUCGCUCCAAUUGGUUAAGCUUUGGGUUGGAUGUGAUUUUAGCCAUUCCCUAGCUUCACUAAGGAGGGAAAAUGGAAAUAGCAUCAUGUAUGCAACUUUCCUCUCAGUGUCAGAAUACCCAUAGUAGCCACUAGCUCAUGGAAAUUAUCCAAAUGAGCAUAUGGAUCUUCAUAAUUCUUGCCCGUGAACUGAUGAGCACUGACUAUAUUCAAAUAUGCAGGCAUGAUUUCCACUGUCCUAGCGGUGUGUGGAAUCACAAUGCUAGAGUAAUGUCGAGGACCUUGAUACAUGGCAUAAUCACCUAAUGUCCUCCAUGGAGGAUUAGGCCUUGGGUUAUUAACAGCAACAUUAUUGGUAUUCUUCAUCUUCUCUAAAUGAGACUCUGAAUUUGUAGUAGGUUCAAAGCUACAUUGUGCUUCCUGAGAACCUGGUUGUCGCUUCUCUUUUGCUUUCUUCCGGUUACAUUUAGUAGACUUCUUAAUCUCUGGAUUGUAUUGUAGUUGCUCUUCUUUAGAUUUACCUCGCAAAAUCAUAAAUAAAAAUACUACAACAAAUGUUAGCACAAGGGUUUACUAUACUACAACGAAUUAAAGAAUAACUAUGUACAAAACUCAAUAAACUUUAUAAAGAACUAAUGUAAAUCGCUCAUUACUCACCAGAAGCGGCGCCACAAACUUGUUAGAUAUUUAUGGAACGGCCUUAUGGAGCAGAGUAGAGUAGAUUUACACUAAUUCCUACAAGAAUAAAUUGGGUAUAUAUUUACAAUAAUGGUUUUAUGAAAUUUUGUAAUUGGUUGUGUAAAAUCAUAAAUUGAACUAAAAACAAUUAAAAUAAACUGGUUUUAUGGCUUGAGCGACAAUUUCAUCGCUUAGGCGAGGCUUGUGCUGUUCAAAAACUCAUUCUUUUUUUCCUCAUUUGUUCAUCAUUCCCUAACCUACAAACAACAAAACACAAUUAAAUUUCUGAACAAUACAAGAUUAACUAUGUUAUCAAGAAUUGUAUGCAAUUAUAACAUAAAUACACACUAAGUACCCCAAAAUUAUAUAAAUUCCUUAACAAUUUGACACUUAACAUAACGUGGGGAGGAAGGAGAGAAACAUUAUUAUUUUUUGUUUAUUAAAUUUAAAGUUGAUGUUCAUGUUCUAUUUAUUAUUUAUGGAAUGAGGGAAGAAAGAAGAGUGGUUUGGAUGAGGUUGGAGUGAGUGAUGAGAAGGUAGGGGGAUGGGACCAGGAAGAAAGGGGCAUGGAGUGGAGAGGGAGGAUAACUGGAUUAAUUUUAAUUUUGAUGUUACUAAAAUCACCCUAACAAUUUUUAACAAAUAUACCUCAGUGAUGUUUCUAACUAAAAAUGGAGGUUCCUGUGUUAGCAAACCCCAUUAGUUUAAGAGCAUUUCAUCUAAAAAUAUAAAAGAAAUAUUUUGAAUAACACUUCAAUUUGAUCACACUAAGAUUGUCAUAAUUAGUUUGAUCGUUAAGAUUACAUAAAGUGUAGUUCCAUCUCUUAUUUUUUCAAUCUAAUAAAUUUGGUAUUUUGUGAAAGAGAAAAAUGAUAUAUACACUGAAAGAAUAUAAAUUUUGUAUAUCGUGAAUGUAUUAUCCACCAUUUAUUUUUAAUGAACUUUGAUUUAUCAAAAAAUAAUAUAAUAAUUGGAUAAAUUUUUAUAGGUAUGUAAGAUAUUAUUCUUUUGUCAGAAUAAGUAUAUAACAUUAAAUAUAAGUUUACAACAUUAUUUCUUAAUUAUUGGAUACAUGGAUUUUAGAAGCUUAUAAGUGACUAUAAAUAUAAAACGCUGUUUCUCAAUUAUUGGAUACAUGGGUUUUAUAAUCUUAUAGUGAAGGUUAAUUCAUGUUUUAAAUGCACUCACACAUCUCGACAACACAAAAUAAAGUUAUUAGGUAGUCUAUAUACAAAAAUAAAACCAAAUAAAGUGACUAAGUAUUACAAUCCCAUAAAAACUAAAUCUAGAUUUUUUAACAUUAAUUACGUAAGUUUAAAUUCAACAUGAAAAUAUCGAAUUCUAAUAUCAAUGUAACAUUUGUAGGUUUCCCAACAACCCCAAGUAUCAUUUACCUAAAGAUGAAAAGUUCUACGUAGAAACAGUCAGGUCAGAUUUUACCUUAAACAUGUCCAGCCUAUAUCGCAUAUACGAGUUUAGGGUUGACUUAUUAGCCUGUUAAUUUUUUUUCAAAGCCUAGGCCUGACUUGUUUAAAAGUCUAGUCUGAUCUAUUAACCUAUUUAAAAGUUUGUUAUAGUAUAUAAUAUUGAAAUAUGUCAUCAUGUAUACAUUUAAAUAUAUUAAUAUUCCUACUUUUAAUUAGACUUUUCUAACCCUAACAAUUAAUUAUAUUUUUGUAUACAAUUUUAUAUUAAAAUUUAAUAUAUAUAUAUAUAUACAUUAUUUACUUAUAUUAAGAUUGUAUAAUAUAAAUAUAUUGCAUAAUAUAACUAAAUAGGCGGACAUGCUAGGCUUAAUAAUCAUUUUGGAUUACCUAAAGUUUGGCUUGUUAUAGUAAAUAUGCUUUUCAAAAAGUCUGAGUCUGACCUUUUUAUGAAAAAAACCUGGUCUGGCCUAUUAUAGGUCAGAUAAUAGGCUCCUGGUAGACGGACCGACCUGUUUUCACCCGUAAUUGUGACCCUUCAUUUGUUAGAGUAGAAUUAGAGAGAAGAAAAAAUGAUGUGAGAGAGUUUGGAGAGAAAUAUAAAUUUUUCCACUUUGAUUGCCAAGAGAGAAAGAGAUGAGAGAAUUAAAAUUGUGCCACACUCACUAUAAAUUUUUUCUCUUCAAGGUUGGUUAAAAAGUGUGAAGAGAAUACUGAUUUUGCAAAAAAUAUCACAAUUAUCCUUCAUUUUUUCUCUACUUUUAAUUUUAAAUAUUAACAUACACAAGUCUAUUUGAAUAUAAAAAUAAUAUUAAUUGAGAAUAAUUAAAAUUAUUUUAUAAAAUUUAUAAUUUAAAAUUAAAGCUUUUAUUUUUAAUUAAUAAUAGAACAAAAAAUCACACUUUUCUCUAUUUUUGGGAUAUUAUUAUCCUUUGAAACAUCAUAUUUUUCUUUUCACUUUCUAUUCAACUAAAAAAGAGUGAGAUGGAAAAUAUCUCUCCAUUUUAUAUUACAAAAUGUAUUAUUUCUCUUUCUCUUCUUUCUAUUUCUACCCACUUUCUCUCUUCUAAUUUUUUCUUAUCCAACCAAAUAAAACCAUAGGUAAUAUAAUAAGUUGAUACUCUUGCUCAUACAAAAAAAUUCACUUACCAAUACUUAUGUCAAUAAUAAACAUACUACCCUUUUUGAGUUACAAGAAACAUGGAUAACACACUGCUUCAUCACUGGUAGUAUAUAAUAAUAAUAAUAAAUAAAUAAAAUAGUAAUUUUAUAUUAUAAUUAACACCCGCCAAUUUAUUAGGAUUAGACGAUUUUUUACUUAAGCUAAAUAAACAAGCUUUUGACAAAGCCUACCUGGUCUUUUCUUCAGGCCAAUAAUGAGCCAUGUCUUGAUGGGUUGAUUAUCCAAUUUCCACUACUAUGAUAUACAAAUAAAACAUUUCAUGAUAAGAAUUAUAACUUCAACUUUUGUAUUUUAAAAAUCUCACUCCAGUGAUUUCAUAUAUUAUUAUGGUAAAAUAUAAACUCAAGUCAUAAAAAAUCAAAAGUUUUAAAAUUGCUAUAAAAUUAAAAUGAUUUUAAUAGUCAAUUAUAAUACAAUUGGUUUUAUAAUUUUUUAUGUUUGCCAAAAAAUGAUUUCAUUUUUUUGAGCAAUUUAGGAAUUACUUUUAUACAGGUAAGUAAUCAUGAAAUUGCUAAUAAUAUUAAAAGGAAGAGAAACAUAUAUGACUAAAUAUAAUGAAAUUGUUGAGAGAAGUAAUAGUAAUGUGCAGAAUUUGUCCGAUUCCCCAUCUCCUCAUCAAGAAAAAAAAUGAAAGAAAUUAUAUGUUUGAAUUGCACAUGGAAGGAAUGCUCCUUUAUGCAUAUUCCAUUACCUUAAUAGAAUAUAUAGCAAAAUAGUUUUCUAUUUUUAAGAAUAGGAUGUUAGUCUCUAAGUUAUUUAGGAGAUUCUAAAGCUUGGAGUGAAAUGUUGUGAUGAUAUCUAUUUUAAGUUUUUUUUUUUAUAAUAAAAUAUUGAGAAUAAAAUAUAUUUUGGUGUAAAGAGAUAAAUUAUCUCAUCCAGACAUUAAAAUCAUGAUAUAUGUCUUACUUCAUAAUUUUUUAUAAAAAUAUUUCUAAAAUUUAACAAAAUAAUACACAUAUCAUAUUUGCGGGAUGUUAUCAUUUAUUCUACUACCUACUCCUAAGAAAAUUGUACCCAUGUUUUGAACAUUUUAAAUUUUGGUCUCUAAGGUUGGAUCUGCAUCAAUUUGAAAAACUAUAAAACCACCCACUUAAUCUCUAAUUAAUCACUUUAAAAAAAAAUCUCUAACUACUUUGUUUCUCUCUCCAUAUUCACAUGAUAUCAUAUCUAUAAGCAAUAAUUAAGGAGAUUCUAAUAGAAAUUAUCUAUACAUGUAAAAUAUCAAGAAAAAGAAACUAUCUAAGUUGAUUUACAAAGGUGAAAUGCUAAAUAUUUGAUUAGUUACAAAAUUAUUUAAAAAGCACAUUCUUUAUCAUAAAAAAAAAGAUUUAUGUAAUUUAAUCUAAGAACAGCUUUUACUUUUUUUAAAUAAUUAAAAAAACUUUCUCUAAUUAUAAAUAUCCCUUUUUUUCUCAUUACUUCAAUUACUUUCUUCACUACUCUUUCAUCUUUCAACCAUGGCUAACCAAUCUGAGUCUUCAGAUUCGUAAGUCUCUUCCUUUUCACAUCCCCAUUCAUGUUUCUAUCUUCAAUUUCAAUUACUUGUUUUCAAUUUUGAUUUUUAUUGAUUCUACUUUUUUGUGUUUUCAGUAAGGGAUCGAAAAGGGAUUUCAGCACUGCGAUCUUGGAGCGGAAGAAAGCGCCGAAUCGGCUCGUUGUUGAUGAAGCUAUCAACGAUGAUAACUCCGUCGUCGCGCUUCACCCUGAUACUAUGGAGAAGCUUCAGCUCUUUCGUGGUGAUACUAUUUUGAUCAAGGUAAUUUGGUAUUUUAAUCAUAUUAGGGUUUUGGGUUGUGUGAUUGUGGAGUUGAAUUGAAAAGGGUUGUGUUUUUUUUGUGUGAGCGCGAGGGUUUUGUAAGAUAAGACUAUUUCAUUCAAGUUGAUUGUAUUUUCCACAGAGUUAGGGUUUUGAAUUGUUGAUUGUAAAAUAGAAUUGAAAAGUCUUGGUUUUUAUGACGGUUUUGAAUUUAAGAAAGGCUUAAUUAGUGAUUAAAAUAUAUUGAUUUCCUUAUCUGCUGUUUGAGUUUAGGUUCAAAUUUCAUUGACUGUUGGGUUUAAUCAGACCCAGCACUCUUGAUUAGAAAGAUUCGAUGUAAUUUUAAUCAUAACAUUGUGGCUCCCUUGUCUCUUAACUUCAGUGGUAAUCUUAUUGUUAUAGGGUUAAGAUCUUAUUUGGUGUUGACUUACCUAAUAAGAGAAAAUCUUGUGUAGUGAAUGAUUUUUGUUGUUAGCUUUCUAACUUUCUUUUUUGGUAAAAAUUUUUCAUUUGGCGCAAAAGAUUGAAUUUGUUCUUUGCUUACAUAUUAGAUAUGCUUGUUGGUAUAAAAUUGUAAAUGCUAUGAAAGAUGUGGGGGCAAUUUCCGUUAAUGACCAAUAUUUAUAUUUUAUUUUUAGUUAUCAGUUUUUUGGUUGGAAAAUGCAUGGUAAUUGUAACAGCAUAGCACUCCUCUUUAAUUGUUUGUUUUUUGGUUGCUUUUGAUCUUUAGGGAAAGAAAAGGAAAGACACAGUCUGUAUCGCACUUGCUGAUGACACUUGUGAUGAGCCAAAGAUAAGAAUGAACAAGGUUGUGAGAAACAAUCUUAGGGUCAGGCUGGGAGAUGUUGUCUCCGUUCAUCAAUGUCCUGAUGUCAAAUAUGGAAAGCAAGUCCAUAUUCUUCCCGUUGAUGACACUAUUGAAGGGGUUACUGGGAAUCUGUUUGAUGCCUACCUAAAACGUCAGUUACUAUUUUAUCGUUUUUCUUUGACCAUACAUGUGCUUUUCCUCCUUCUCUUAUUGAAUUUUCUUUCUUGGUAUUUGCCGUAUCAUAUCAUCCAUUCCUUUUUGGCUUUUGUCCAUAAAUUGUUUUGAUAAUGGCUAAAUUAUUUUUUAGAAGAAUACUUAGUUGUCAGCAUUGAAAGUUGAUGAUCCUCAUAAAUAGAUAAUGCACUUCCUGUGUUAUGGGAAGUUCAAUAUGAUGAGUUACACAUGAGUUCAUUUAUCUAAGUGUCUUGAGUUUAUACACGAAGUCCAUGCUUACUAAAUGAUGAAGAAAAUAGUCUUUUUCCGGAAAUAUUUAGUUCUGAGUUUAUAAUUGAAUACCAAGCAUUUGUGUAGUUUUAUUCCAUAUAUUCCAUAAGCUCUUGAAGUCUAAUGGAUUCAGGUCAUCUUACAACUUCGCUCUGUUAUUUUCAUAUUCAUCCUCUUAGCUCCCUGACAUAUGCUUGUUGAAUUCUAUUUCAUUAUGAAUACUAAGUCCUGCUUUAAUUUUGCAGCGUAUUUCUUGGAGGCAUAUCGUCCAGUGAGGAAGGGUGACUUUUUCCUCGUAAGAGGGGGGAUGAGAAGUGUAGAAUUCAAGGUUAUUGAGACUGACCCUGGUGAGUAUUGUGUUGUUGCUCCUGACACCGAGAUCUACUGUGAAGGAGAGCCUAUUAAGAGAGAAGAUGAGAAUCGAUUAGAUGAGAUUGGUUAUGAUGAUGUUGGUGGCGUAAGAAAGCAGAUGGCUCAGAUUCGGGAACUGGUUGAAUUGCCACUGAGGCAUCCACAAUUGUUCAAGUCUAUUGGUGUUAAGCCACCAAAAGGAAUUCUGCUCUAUGGACCCCCUGGGUCUGGUAAGACUUUAAUUGCCCGAGCAGUUGCAAAUGAAACUGGUGCCUUCUUUUUCUGCAUCAAUGGCCCUGAAAUCAUGUCAAAGCUGGCUGGUGAAAGUGAAAGCAAUCUAAGGAAAGCAUUUGAGGAAGCUGAGAAGAAUGCACCCUCCAUCAUCUUCAUUGAUGAGAUAGAUUCAAUAGCUCCAAAGCGGGAGAAGACUCAUGGUGAAGUUGAGAGGAGAAUUGUUUCACAGCUCUUGACCCUCAUGGAUGGGCUUAAAUCACGUGCACAUGUUAUUGUUAUGGGAGCUACAAAUCGUCCCAAUAGCAUUGACCCUGCUCUUAGGAGGUUUGGAAGGUUUGAUCGGGAGAUAGAUAUUGGUGUUCCAGAUGAAGUUGGGCGCCUUGAGGUUCUUCGUAUCCAUACGAAGAAUAUGAAGCUUGCGGAAGAUGUAAGAUUGAUUCUUUUCCCACUUGGUUGUGUUUUGAUUUGAACGUUCCAAAAUCUGACAAGUUUGAACAUUGUUCUUUUUUCAGGUUGAUUUAGAAAAGAUUUCUAAGAACACCCACGGCUACGUUGGUGCCGAUUUAGCUGCUUUAUGUACUGAAGCUGCACUUCAGUGCAUCAGAGAGAAAAUGGACGUAAUUGAUUUGGAAGAUGAUACCAUUGAUGCUGAGAUACUGAACUCAAUGGCGGUGACAAAUGAGCAUUUCCAGACUGCUCUUGGAUCAAGUAACCCUUCUGCUCUCCGAGAAACAGUGAGUAUUUUAGCAGUUUCUUGUAUCACUGCUAAAUUUCCUUUCCUUGCUUUCCCUUCCUUGCCCGACACCUUUCCUGAUUAUACCCCUUCAAACGUUGGUGUAUCUGUAACCUUGACUUUGCUAAUGAAACCAGGUUGUUGAAGUGCCCAAUGUCAGCUGGGAAGAUAUUGGGGGUCUGGAAAAUGUUAAGAGAGAACUUCAAGAGGUAACUUGAGCUCUUGCACAGAGUCACAUUACUGCAAUUGUUUAAUCUCAUCUGCCUUUUGGUGUUAAUAAUGUUUUCUUUUGCAGACUGUUCAAUAUCCAGUGGAACACCCUGAGAAAUUUGAAAAGUUUGGAAUGUCACCUUCAAAGGGGGUUCUUUUCUAUGGCCCUCCUGGUUGUGGUAAAACCCUUCUGGCAAAAGCUAUUGCCAAUGAAUGUCAGGCUAACUUUAUCAGUAUCAAAGGUCCUGAGCUACUGACAAUGUGGUUUGGAGAAAGUGAGGCUAAUGUGAGGGAAAUUUUUGACAAGGCUCGUGGUUCUGCUCCAUGUGUCCUAUUCUUUGAUGAACUUGACUCUAUUGCAACUCAGGUUUGUACCAUACAGUAUGCUGUGAUUUGGACAUCAGGCAAAGUUCAUUGAUUUCUGAAGUAUAUCAAUUUUCAUUUUAAAUAAUUAAAAUAUUGUUAAUUACCUUGGGGCAAAGACUUUGAUGUUGUGUAGAUAAUUAGUGUUCGUCUAGGCUACUGUAAUUAUCUGGACUUGUUAACUACGUCUAAAUCUAUCGCACACUUUGUCUUGCAGAGAGGCAGUAGUGUAGGAGAUGCUGGUGGUGCCGCUGACAGGGUUUUGAACCAACUGCUUACGGAAAUGGAUGGGAUGUCAGCAAAGAAAACUGUGUUCAUCAUUGGGGCUACUAAUCGACCAGACAUCAUUGAUCCUGCUCUUCUGCGACCAGGCCGUCUAGACCAGCUGAUUUAUAUCCCUCUUCCAGACGAGGAAUCCCGUUAUCAGAUCUUCAAAUCUUGCUUGAGAAAAUCCCCCAUUGCAAAAGAUGUUGACCUAAGAGCUCUUGCCAAGUAUACUCAAGGCUUCAGUGGUGCUGACAUUACUGAGAUUUGCCAGCGUGCAUGCAAGUAUGCUAUAAGAGAGAAUAUCGAGAAGGUACUGUUCCAUUUAUUAAUUAAGUUCGUUGACAAUUAUAGGAAUUGUUAUAUUGGAUUCAGCUUAAGCUAACCCAAAAAAAAAAACGUUUUUUUGGCAGGAUAUUGAGAAAGAAAGGAGGAGAAGUGAUAACCCGGAGGCCAUGGAAGAGGAUAUUGAAGAUGAAGAUGUAGCAGAAAUCAAGGCUGCCCAUUUUGAAGAAUCAAUGAAGUUUGCGCGAAGGAGUGUGAGCGAUGCCGACAUUCGCAAGUACCAAGCAUUUGCCCAGACAUUGCAGCAGUCAAGAGGGUUUGGAACUGAGUUCAGGUUUGCAGAUAAUACCAGCUCUGGUGCUGCUACCGCUGCUGCAUCUGACCCAUUUGCAAGUGCUGGUGGAGCUGAUGAUGAUGAUCUUUAUAGUUAGAUUAAGCUUGUGCUUUUGUUUUUAUUUAUGAACGGAUGGUUCUACCUUGUUUAUGUACUUCUCAUUUUCUUUCUGCAUGAAAUCUCCGAGGCUUACAUUGGAUUAUUGUCUUUUGGUGUCAGUCUCUUUUGAAACUUUGAAGGAAUUACUGUAUAAAGACAGCUUCUGAAACCAUUGUCCUAGUUCUUGGGUUCCACUACCUUUAUUUUUUAGCAAAAUACUCCCAUUUUACUGCAGAUCACACUCGUAAAAUUGAGAUGAAUUCCUUAGGUUCGGGUGGUCUCAUUCUCAAAUAAAAAUAUGGCACAUGUAUUAUUUUGAACAUGUUAUUUUAUAGAUUAUAAAGAGAUGAGAGUCAUAAAAUAUAUUUAUGAGAGGUUUCUCUUCCUCCAUUUCUUCUAAUAAUUAAUUUGCAAGUAGACUCUCUCUACAUUGCUAACCUUAUAAGCCUAUGAAUUACAAUAUUUUGAUAGAGAUUAAUCUUGUCCAAAAGGCUUUUGGAAACUGCAGCAUGGACAAAAAUAUAUUAUCUUUAUAGUCUCAAUUAUAAGAAGAAGAAAAAAACAGUUUUUGGUCUAUAAGAAAUUUAAGUAACUUUAUAGUUGUCUAAGGGAAAGAGAAGGAGAAAGAUAAAAGGGUUAGGAAGGGAAUGGAAAAACAAAGAAAUCCUCCUCCUUAUUUGAGAGUAUAAAAUUUAGAAGAGAGAGGGUAAACUAAUGAUAAUUUAACAAUAUUUUUUUUCUUUUAAAAAUGUAGUUAACAAUGAGAAAUGAACAGUAAUGUACAAUUAUAUAAUAUUACUAAAAAUAUUUAACUAUUUUAACAUUUUAUCUCCAAAAAAUCUCAAAUUCGGGGAACUAUUAAAAAUAGACACAUAGAGGGAUUUGGAAGGUUUGAGAAACCCUCCAAAACAUUUCCCUCUUCAUCAUCCAACUCCUAAACAAGAUGAAGGCUUUAAUACCGCUUUUUAUUGAAACAAUUUCUCAUAUUAUAUGCUGAACAAUAAUUAUAAUUACUUGUAAGUUUUUUUAUUAAAUGAAAGUUGACUAUUUAGUGCAGUCUGCUAAGGAGUAAGUGCUUCCUCGUCCUUGCCUAUAAAGGGAAUAUGACAAACUUGUCAAUUGGUAUAUAUUCUUCUAAUUUACAGGAUUUGAAGUUAGGUCACCAUUUAAGCAUUAUUUGAAUUUAGAUGAGGUUAAUGUACAUAUAGCCAUUUAAAUAUAUAAUAUAUAGUUCAAUAAUUUUCUAAGGUUACACUUACAGUCAAAAUACGUGUGUAGUGUACAUAUAUCCAUUCAUCCAACUACUCAUAUUUGUUAAAAAGUCUCCAAAUUCAGAAAUUUUAAAAUAAUUGCAUCCAAAUCCAAUCAACUCUCUUUAUUUAGGUAGACUAUACUAUGCAUCAAGCUCAUGUGUAGUUUCUGACUUUCUAGCAGCUUUGGCUGAUGAAAUCAUUUUCUGUCCAAUGACAAAUCUAUGUGCUUAUCCAUUCUCCUUUUCCUAACCAAUGCUGGAUCGUUUCUCAACAUAAUUUGUUCUCAAAACUAUUAGUCAUAACCCACCUAUGAAAUUCAAUAGAUAAAAAAGAUUAACAUUAAGGCAUUAAUCUGAUCAACAGAUACUCAAGAUGACUGAAAAUAUCAAAGGUUCGAUUCAUGAUAGGGGUAACCAGACAUACCAAAAGAGAUUAGUUCUUUACUCAUUGGGAGACGGGAUACCCUUGUUAGUACAAAAAAUAAGCAACCUUAAUGUGAACACUUAUUUUUGUCCGGCUCAUAAUAUAACCCAAUAAUAGAUUUUUAGCACCAGAAAUAUUAUAUAAAUAAAACAUUUUUAAUUUAUUUCGAAAAUUGUUAAAUUAAGUAAUUUGAAGUGGAAAGUGAAAUAAAAAAUAAAGCAACUAAGUGAAGGAAAACUGAUUGAUAACUAGAUUUGAGGAGUGCAGGGAGUAUGUUGGGGAUAAUGGGGGAGUUACCUAUUUUCUAGGAGUAACGGGUAGAGAGUUUAAUUUCUUGUCGUCCUUUAUAAAAACAAGACAUUUUUUACAAAGAGGGGGGAGACACAUUUUUAAAAGAGAAGAAAAAACGUCAGCACCAAUAUCUUCCUCCUCUCACCCAACAUCCUUCGUCAUUAAACAACCUCCUUCAACCAAAAUUCAUCUAAGGCCAAAAUCCUCAACAUCCUCUUCCAUCCUCAACAUCCUCUUCCAUCCAAAAUUCAGCCAUGAUCGGAGGAAGAGACCCCUUCUUCCUUUGCCACCGGAACUGCCAGAGUCGUGGUGGCGCUACAUCCAUCCGUCAAGCCACACCCAGUGCGGUCGCCACCUACAUGGGUGGUGCAAUAUCCAUCGCAGGGGGAGAGGGAUGAAGAAGAAGAAGAAGUUAUUCAUUGAAGGAGGGGUUCCUUUUCCUCUCCACUGUUGCCAAAGCCUAUUUUAAUAUCUAGGUUUCUUUUCCAUUUCAUUUCAUUUGUCCAGCUUUAUUAAAUAGUUUUUUUUUGGUUUGUUUGUAUUUGCAUUGUUAAAAUUAAUCGUGAAUGGAAUAAAUGGAUAAUAAAAAUGACAAUAAUCUAUACUAAUCUUAAUAGUAAUACAUUUAAUGCUGUCAUAUCUAUUUAUAAUGUGUUUAUAAUAGUGUUGUUAUGUAGUUAUUCAUUUACAAAAAAAUAAGUUUAAUAACUCAAUAGUUAAAUAUUUGAGAUAUUAUUAACAAAUUAUUUUAAGAAGUUCAUAGCGAGGUUAUAACUUGUAUUAAAUUAUUAUUAUUAUUGUUUGUAAAAAGUUUACAAAAUUUCGUGAAUUAAUCAAAGGAUGGAGGUAGGUUGUGGUAACACUUCUUCUACUCAUAUGGUUGUGUUACGCCGCUUCUCUUCACUCGAUUAAUUCCUAAAAUUCCAAAAUAAACAAUUUUUUUUAAUUAAAUUAACAAUCAACUAAAACAUUUUUCAUAAAUACACAAAACUAAAUAUUUUCAUUAAUAAAUUUUGUCAAUCACAUAAGGGCUUCUUUCUUCUCAAGUCAUUCUUCGGAUGAUCGCACUACGCUGCUUUCGUCCUUAAUUAAAAUAUUUCGUCCUCAAUAAAAUUAGUCACUAUUCUUGUAUUUAUUGAUGUGUAAAUUGAAACUUCAAGCGAGGGCUGAAUCAAUUUCACCUCUAUGCACUUUCCUCCUUCUAAAUCCUCUAGUUCCCCUUCUCGCAAGAAAUUUACAUUCUCGAUCUGCUUCGAAGGUAUUGAAAGCCGAUUUUGUUGUUCAUUCAAAUCUGAAUCAAACAAAGAUUUAGUAAUCAGCAAAGUGGUUUCGUUGCCGCCCAUUUCAUUAAUCUUAUCUAUGAACUCUUGUGGCAAUUCAGAUGGUGCUGCUUCAACUACUACGUUAAAUCUUUGUCUUUUUUUGCUGCUGCUAGAUGCUGAUUGAGGUGGCUGAAACGGGACCCAAUCUUGAUCAAGAACAUCACCAUUCUCUGCAUCAUUGAUAAUUGCUGCAGAUUUGCCUUUCAAAGCUCUCUUUUUCUUCUCUUUUAUAAGAAGAUCUUCAUCAUCAACGUUGUAGUUCAAUUCAGCGUUAGAGGUGGCUCCUUCUUCAAUAGCAGAACACAUGAAGUUGAUGGGAUUCUUGGAAGUUGAUGGUAAAUUAUCAUCUUUAAUUAAGACUUCAUCUGCAUUGUUUGUGAUCGUUUUCUUUAGAUGCCGAUGAAACUUCAAGCUUGAAGAGGCUGCAAAUGAAGAAGCCAUGAAUUUGAUAGGUUUCUUGGAAUUGGAAACUUCAUCAAAACCAUCAUUAGCACCCUCCUUCACUAUUUUCAUUGUUUUCUUGUUGAACCUGAUCCUAAGGGAAUGAAUAGAAGAAGUUGUAUCUUGAUAAUGUAGUCUAGAGGCUACAUCAGCCAACAUGUUCAAUGCAGAACACAAUGGGUCAAGAUACAGUAAAGGGUUGUUAAUGGAGUCAUCACAAUCCAUUCUUACUAUCUCUUGCUUGGAUCUUUUUUAGGAAACAAGAGCAAAGAAUGUGAAAUGAUAUUUGGAGAGUGAUGAGUUUACAAUUUAGCAACGCAUAGCUUUCUUUUAUAGUUUACUAGAGGGGUAGAUUGGAUAUAUUUUUGUAUAUUUCAAAAUUAUCUUUGUAACAGGAAGUAAAAUAGAAACAAAUCUCACUGUUAUCUUUAUUUAUCAACAAAUCUCACUGUUAUUUUGUAUAAACAAAUCUUUAUGAUAUUUUAUAUACAAUGUUAACGAUAUAUUUUCUGUAAACAAAUCUUAAGGAUAUAUUAUUUAGAAAUAAGUCUUAAUCAUAUAUUCUUUUGUGAACAAAUCAAAAUAUCCUGUACGAUUUUGCAAGAGAGUGAGAUUAAGAGAACCUUCUCCUCGGUAAAAGUUAUUUAUUUUCCCAUACAACAAAGGAUAUAGAAUUUAUGUCUUUUAAUAUAUAAACUGGUGGAAUAAAAGGGUACCCAUUUACAUAGAGAGCACAAAGAACUUAGCCUAAUAAAAAUGUAACAUCUGAAAUACAAACUAUAUAGAUAAUUCUAUGUGCUUGUCCAUCCUUCCUCUUCUAAUAUAAGAGCAGUCAAUUCAAAAAUCAUAGUUCAUGAAAUUUGCAAUUGGGUCCAUCAUUUGUAGACUUACAGGUUCGUGGUGGACCAUAUAGAAAAAUACCCUCUCUUCAAGGUCAUUGUUCUACCCCAGUCACAUCCGGGCUAUCAUUUGACCGCCUUGGGUAACCAACACUAGGCUCCUCAUCUCUUUGUGAUCCGUCUCAGAUGGGCCCACUAGCGGCAGAUGUCAUAAAUGAUCUUGAUGUGACAUUAAUGCCUCUGACCCACCAUUUAAUGUACAUCUGACCUCGUCAUUAAUGUGCCGCUAACUCGUCCUCAAUGUCAUCUAACAAGCCGCAUGUGCAUUCCGUCUGCCCCCGACAAUUCGAUAAGAGCAGACAGGCAAGGACUACCAGGGUACGUCCAUUGUACCCGUUAGAUGUUGGCUAAUGGCAAGAUGCCAUCUCAACAUACCCCAAACUCUAUAAAUAGAGGAGACCACACAUGAAGUACAUUUAAUUCUCAUUCCCUCAUUUAUUGUUACACAUAUUGCUCCAACUUCUCUCUUAUUUACUCAUUUUAUCUCUCUAGAAUACUCUAUUGACUUGAUUGUCGGAGAACUUUUUCAGGAUACGUCCCCGACUGGUCCAAAUGACAUUCCGACCAGAUCUCCUGAUCUUUCAUACUCUACCGGAUAUUCAUCAUCGACAAUUCCCUCCUAAUAUAAAAGAACAGUCAUGUAUGAUCUCUUCCCUCUUGUAAUGCUCGAUUUGCGUGUUUCAAAUGUUUCUGCAUGCUCAAAACUAUGUGACUCAUCUUUAGAUGAUUUUUAACCAUUACUAGGAUUGUUUGUGUACAAGUUUAAUUGUCUAUUUUUCAUUGCAAUUUAUCUUCCUUCAUCCAACACAUGUUUGAUAUAUAAGACAAAGCUAUAAGGUCAAGGUGAGUCUUGUGAAAGUUGAGCUUAGUUAUAGUACCUUUUGUCAUCGGCUUAGUUAUAGUUUUACUUGCAGCCCAUCAAAGUUUAACAAUUUGGAACUCAUCUUUGAUCUCUUCAUUAUAAUCCAUGAGAUUAGUUAUAGUAUUUUAUUUGCUACCUUAGUUCCCCCAUCUACUCUUGUUAGGUACCACUCUUUUGGUCACUGAUAUAUGAAUCUUGUGUUGGUUGGUUUAUUAAUAUGAAUGACAAGAAGUAUCAAAUUAAAAGGUGAUUCUUAGUUCUUAAUAAUUCAUUUUCUUGGCGGGUUCCUUGAGAUUUAAGACAUGUGACAAAGAGAAAAGUAACUAGGAAGUGCAAAAUGUCAAAAUAUAAAAAAAAAUGAUGGCCUUUAUUAUUACUUGAAUGGCCUUUAGGGAUGGUAAUCAUGAAUUAUAAUUUAUUUUAUUAUAAAAUAUAAAUUAUUAUAACAAACAUACAUAGUGGACUAGGCUUUUUGAUUUGAAGCAAAACAAAACUAAACAGGACAUUUACUUCUAUUUUUAUUAGUUGUUGAAUAAAUAGACAUAAUUAUUCUAAUUUAUCUAUGUACCCAUAUACAAUGUAUCCCAUGCUAAAUUUAUCAUAUAACGUGUCUUCAAAAUUUUACUUGUCAAUUUUAUCCUUCAAAUUUUAACAAAAUACAUUAGUUACUGCAAUUAAAAAAAUCCUAUAUUUUCAUAAAACAAAUACAACCAAGCUUUUAUCCAUUUAAAAAAACCAUAUUAUUUUUACGAUUUAUAAAUUAUUUUUACAUUAAAUUUUUUGUUAUGUAUAAAUUAUUCUUACAUUUAAUUUUUAGAUGAGUGUAUCAAUUAUUUUGAUAUUAUAUUCUUUUAGUGAUGUAUAGUGUCAUUAGUUGAAAAAUACUAUAAACUUAUGCAACUUAAUUACAUUUUUAGAAGAGAAAAAUAUUGAAAUCAACCAAAAAUAUAUAUUAAAGGAAAUAAAAAAUAAAACUAUGUAGAUAAAUAAAUAUUGUAUAAAUUUUUUAGUCAUUUUAAAUUUCAACUAGUUACAAAGUUAAAUUUAUUAACACUUCUAGUUGAAUAAGCUAUCUAGAUAGCUAAAAGGUACAAGCUCAGGACUGUAAACUAUAAGCUUACAAUAUAACACACUAGUUUUUCACAAAGACCCGAAAGGAACAAGGAAAGAAAGCAGCAUUAGGUUAUAGAAUUUAAUAUCUAUGAAUGAUGUAAUUUUUUUUACACAAUCACCCUAAUAUUUAUUAUUCAUGGGUUAAUUAUUAUUUAUUUUUGAAUGAAAGUUGUUUAAAUAAAAGUUUGAUAAUGUAUCGACUCUAUAAAAAACUACACUAAUAAUACAUAGCUAUCAAACCACCAUGCUAUGAUGUGAGAAGAAUGACAUAUUUUUUAUAGAGUGUAAUAUCUAUAUUCUGACAGUGUAAAGAUUUAUAUACAACAUUUAUCAUUCAUUUGAAUUAAUUUUAUUCAAGAGUCAAUAAUAAAAAAAUGAAUGACAAAUAAUAUAGUGACAAUAUAAAAAAUUCUGACAGUAAUUUUCUCUUUUUCAUAAACAACUUUCCUAUAUUGUUGCCAGAGAGGUAAAAUAGUGACUAGCAUUAUCAAGUUAGAUAGUUAGUUAUUCAAAUAUCUUUUUAACAAAAAUAAAAAAAUCUUUUGAUAUCUUACUAUUUCCUUUGAUGAGUUUUGACAAAGUUACUCAAUGAAACUUCUUUUCAUUAUUUUAUUAUAUUAUUAUCCGUUCACAUAGUUAUUCUCACUUAAUUAAUUCUUAAUUAAAUUUUAGUAAUUAGAGAUUAAACACAAUAGUAACCAUAUGGAUUUUCAUGUAUAUAGCUUACAAUAUCUUUAAUAAUUCCAGCUUAAUAGUUGAUAAUAAAAACUUACAUAAAAUAAGGUUUAUUGGAAAAUAAAGUAUUGGGAAAGUACUAAUUCAUCUAUUCCAACAUAAGGGAAAAUAUUUGUGUAUUGUCAGUUAGAAGGUCGGUUACGUAAUUUAGAAAGAGACAAACUCAAUUUUUACUUCUCUCAAUUGAUUUAGAGUUCUUAUUAUGUUUUUUUGCAGUUAAAACGUAGAAAAAUAUCUUUUAAGUCCAAUCUGGAUAAGUUGGUUUUUUGAACUUGAAUUCUAAGUUCAGAAGUCGAUUAUGGAUCAGAGAAGGUAUAAGCAUCCUACCACCCAUAAUAAACGGUACCAUUACUAAUAACAUGAACUUUUAUAUCGUUAAAAAUUAUUUAAUUAAAUUUUUAAUUGCCAAAACAAAAUAUUUAUUUUUUAUAUUUGUAUUUGGCAAGAGCUCAUCUUGUUACUAGGUGCAAUAUAGGAGACAAGACUAUGUAUCAUCUUGUUACUAGGUGCAAUAUAGGAGACAAGACUAUGUAUCAUCUUGUUACUAGGUGCAAUAUAGGAGACAAGACUAUGUAUCAUCUUGUUACUAGGUGCAAUAUAGGAGACAAGACAAUGUAUUUUGGUUUGAAAUGGUUAGUUAGUUGAUUUGUUUGAUUGGACUAAAAUAAUGUUUAAAAUAUAAUGAUUUCAUUUUAAUGGAAUUGAUAGCAUAAAGAUGAUGUUGGUCAUACACUUUUUCUCACAUUAAGAAAGAAGUUAGAGACGAAUCGAAUCAUGAUUGUACUAUAAAAAUUUCAUAAAAUUCAUUUGGUAAUAAAAUAAGUAAUUAGAUUUAAGGUGAAAUUAAUAGUGAUAUUGGUUGUAGACCUUGUCUUUGCAUUAAGCAAGAGUUUAAAAACGACUAGAACCAUGACCAUACUAUAAAAAUUCAUAAAAUCCGAUUGGUAAGAUGUAAUUAAUGUGAAAAAGAUCUUGUUCUUGACCUUGACACGGUUUCGACGAAGAUGCCAAUGUCACUAAAAAUAAGAAAAAAGAAGAUGACCUUGAAGAUAUGGAAGAUAAGCUUCAAAGAUUAAGAUUGCAUAAGUCUUAUAUAUUAUGUAUUUUUAUCCUUAAUCUUUCAUGUAUACUUAGUCGCAAUGCUCAAAGUGAAAACCAUUUUUGAAACCAAGUGAAAACUUUAGAGUAAAAAAUAAUCAAUUUUCAAAAUGCUAAGUAACGGAUUACUUGACCCGAGUAACAAGUUAUUUGACCCGAGUAAUAGGUUAUUGGACCCGAGUAACAGGUUACUGGACUUGAGCAACAAGUUACUUGAACUGUAUAACAUGUUAGUGGGACUGAGUAACAUGUUACCCAAAAUGAGUAACAGGUUACCCAACAAAAAACAACACAAAUUAACCAAUUAAUCAAAGGAGUAACCGAUUACUCAGUUGGACAGAAUGUGUGGAUAAUCAAAUAUUGGUUCCUAUAAUGUACCAAAUUUUCAAAUUCAGAUUGAGCAGCUUUCAUCAAAACGAAUGAGUCUCAUUCCAAAUUUUUUUUACAUUUGUCUUGGGAUAAUAGUUGAUUGGAAGCCUAUUUAAAUACAGAUGACCCAAUUCGAAACAGAACUUACAUAGAACUUUUCACAACUUUCAUAUAAUCUUUCUAAAAAAAAUUUGCACCUUGUUCUUGCAAUUUGAGUUUUUAAAUUUCAUAUUUUUUUGAAGUUGCAACUAAGUGUUUUCUCUAGUUUUUCACACCUUAAACACUAAAGUACAUUGUGUACUUCUUAUAGAAUGAUCAUAAGAAUUGCAAGUGAUAGCAUUGCUAUAUCUUGUAAGGCAAUCCUUGCCAUAACAAAUUUCUUCAUUCAUCUAUUGUAAACUUUUCAUAAUAGGGUGUGUUGGAAAUGGAAAAAGUGUUGUUUAGAAAAAGAGUUAUUCUAAGUGUGUGAGACAUUGGUGAGUGUGUAAUGUACUUAUAAUCUCAUGAUAAGAUUUGUAAUUAGAACUCAUAAUAUUAGUGAAAAUUUAUUGUGCUACAAAAUAACUGAACAUAGUUUUUGGAGGAAACAAUAAGAACCAUGAGUGUACUUCCAUUUUUUAAAUAUUCAAAUUAUUCUUUAGUUAUUAUUUUUAUUGUUAAAUGAUACAUUUUUAUUAGGCUUUAUCUAUAUCUAUACUAUAUAUAAAGCUAAAACUACAAAUAACAACUAUGGUGUAAUUUUUCACAUUCCAAAAUUACAUUUUUGUAUCUCCUCCAUUAAUAUUUAUCAUAAACUUUUAAAUAUUACUUUUAUUUUUUUCCACAAUACAUCAUUAUUCUUCCACACAUUUUCUUAUUUAUAUAUUUUUUUCUUCAAAUUUAUAUUCAAUUAAUCUUCUUACAUCUUUAACUUCUACUGAGUUUCUAUGUAACAUUUCUUUAAAUAUGCGGGUCACGAAGUGCUUAUUAAAACAAAUGUUAAUGUAAUUUAAGAUAAAAUAUAAAUCAUUGUUUAAUAGUUAUGAUAUAGAUUCAUUUUAUUACAAUUGUAUAAACAAAAAACAAAUAAAAUAUAAAUAAAUAACAGAGUUAAAUAAUUCAAAAAAAAAGAAAAAAGAGUUAAGGAAAGGGGUAACCGAACAUGAAGAAAAGAAAGAAAGGGAACGAAAUCCCUAAAUCCAUUUCUUCUUCUGUCAAGAGUGGCUUUUGGUCUUCACGGAAUUUGAGUGAAGCUUUCAUUGUUGGAAAUUGAAGGUAAUGAUUUUGGUUUUCUUGUUUUAUAAGACUUUGGAAUCUGAAUGCCUACUUCUCUGUGUUAUAUGUUCUCUUUCUGAUUUUUCACCCUUUCUGUCUAUUGUGUUGUUUUUUCUUGUUCCGUGUGUGUUUUCUGUUUUUAUGUUGUGUUUCAAUAUGCUACCUCUGUGUGUUUUUUCUGUUCUUCAAUAUGUUACUCUCUCUUAUAUGGUUUCUCUGUUUUUGUUGCACUGCCUCCUUUUUUUUAAUAGCUGAUUGUGGUUUUACUCAUACUAGUUGGUGUACAAAGUAUCUAAAAUAAAAUAUAUUUGAAUGCUUGAAAAAUGUAUUAAAAAAUUAAUGAAUGAAACUUAAAAAGUAAAUACAAAAAUUGUGUAUAAUAGUUUGAUAUUUUUCAAACUUUGACAAUAGCCAUGCAUAAUUCUUCUUGGAUACGGAAAGACCAUACUUGAAUCCUAUCGUUUACUUUGAGUUGAUUAGCUUUUAUGACUUUCUUCCACGAUGAUGACCUCAAAACAUAGCUAGAGCUAACCUUGCCAUCAUUCUUGCGCAUAUUCCACUUAGCCAACGUGAGAUUAGUAACUUCGAGUGAGGGCUGGAUCAGUUUCACCUCUAUGCAUUUUCCUCCCUCUAAAUCAUCUAGUUCCCCUUCUCGCACGAAAUUUUCAUUCUUGAUCUGCUUCGAAGGUAUUGAAAGCCGAUUUUGUUGUUCAUUCAAAUCUGAAUCAAACAAAGAUUUAGUAAUCAGCAACGUGGUUUCGUUGCCGCCCAUUUCAUUAAUCUUAUCUAUGAACUCUUGUGGCAAUUCAGAUGGCGCUGCUACAACUACUAAGUUAAAUCUUUGUCUUUUUUUGCUGCUGCUAGCUGCUGAUUUAUUUGGAGGUGGCUUUACAGGGACCCAGUCUUGAUCAAUAACAUCAGCAUUCUCUGUGCCAUUGAUAAUUGCUUCAUUUUUGCCCUUCAUAGCUCUCCUUUUCAUCUCUUUUAUAGGAAUAUCUUCUUCAUCAUCCUUGUAGUUCAAUUCAGCUUUAGAGCUGGUUCCUUCUUCAAAGGAAGAAGCCAUGAAGUUGAUGGGUUUAUUGGAAUUGGAAGCUUCCUCAGAACCAUCAUUUGGACUCUCCUUCACUGUUUUUGUUUUCAUAUUGAACCUGAUCUUAAGGGAAGGAGUAGAAGAAGUUGUAUCUUGAUGGUGUAGUCCAGAGGCUACAUCAGCCAACAUGUUCAAUGCAGAACACAAUGGGUCAAGAUAGAGUAAAGGGUUAUUAAUGGAGUCAUCACAAUCCAUUGUUGUUACUAUCUCAGAGCUUGGAUGAUUUUUAAGGAACAAGAGGAAAGAAUGUGAAAUGAUAUUUGGAGAGUGACGAGUUUACAAUUUAGGAACGCAUAGCUUUCUUUUAUAGUUUACUAGAGCGGUAGAUAUGAUAUAUUUUUGUAUAUUUCAAAAUUAUCUUUGUAACAGAAAGUAAAAUAGAAACAAAUCUCACUGUUAUCUUUAUUUAUCAACAAUCUCACUCUUAUUUUGUAUAAACAAAUCUUUAUGAUAUUUUAUAUACAAUGUUAAUGAUAUAUUUUCUGCAAACAAAUCUUAAUGAUAUAUUUUUUAUAAACAAGUCUUAAGAGAACCUUCCCCUCCGCAAAGUUAUUUAUUUUCCCAUACAACAAAUGAUAUAGAAAUAAUGUCUUUUAAUAUACAAACUAAUGAAAUAGAAGGGUACCCAUUUACAUAGAUAGCAUAAAGAACUUAGUCUAAUAAAAAUAUUACAUAUGAAAUACCAACUACAUGCAUAGAUAACACCAUUUGUAGAUCCAUAAAAAACCAUACUAUACAACCAAAUCAAAACACUAAACACUCCACUCCUUCCAUUUAUUGGAACCAAAAUAGUAUGAUGUAUGAUGAAUGUUUAUUUUAGGGUGUUACUAAUUAAGUUGUACUUAAAUAUUUAAGCUUCAGUUGUACUUAAUUAUUUUUUUCUUCAAAUUAAUAUCUUAGAUCAUUAAUGAUAUCUACGUAAUUACUAAAUAAUGAAUGUAGUAUAUGUAUAUAAUGGAUAACUUCAAUAGUCAUAAUAAAAAAUAAUUUCAAUAGUUACAAGAAAUGAAAUAUUUGUAAUGAUUAUAAUUAUAUUACCUCUAUGUACUAAUAGAUAAAACAAUAUUAUUAAUAAAUUAGUCUCCAUAACUCAUGUUAGAGGGAUAAGAUUAAUGAGAUGGAGAAUUAAUAUCUUAGUUCAUUAAUCAUAUCUACCUAAUUACUAAUUUGUUAUUGUCUUAUUUCCUCUAUUGGCUAUAAAUUUUAAAUUAAAAACUUUUAUAUUCUAGAGUGGGUAUCCAGUUACACCAAUAGUAAGUUUAAAAAACGUAUUCCUCAUCAUAGCCAUCAAUUCUAUGGACAUCUGAUGAUUUAAAUCUACUCACUAAUUAAAAUCAUUAGAUUUCCCUAAAAUUAAUAGUUAUAAUGAGAAAUAAAUUUAAAAAACUUACUCUUAAAAUAAGUAAAUACUUCCCCUUCACUAUAUACAUUUAUAUACAUCACUCCAAAUUAAUGAAAGAAGAUUCUUUAUUUCUCUGUAGUACAUGUAUAUUAAUAUGAUGGAUAACUUCAAUAGUUAUAAUAAAAAAUAUCCAAAUUAAUGAAAGAAGAUUCUUUAUUUCUCUGUAGUACAUGUAUAUUAAUACGAUGGAUAACUUCAAUAGUUAUAAUAAAAAAUAACUCCAGUAGUUUACAAAAAUGAAAUAUUUGUAAUUAUUAUAAUUAUAUAUAAUUUCUUUUAUAUAGUUUGCUUUGAUGUUUCCUAUCUAAAACAAGAUUACUAGACCUAGAGAAGAUUACCUCUGUGUAUUAAUAGAUAAACAAAAAUAUUAUUAAUAAAUUAGUUUCGAUAAGUCAUGUUAGAGGGAUAAGAUCAAUGAGAUAGAGAGUUACAUAUAUCUUCAGCCUUUAUUGAUAAUGAAUUCUAUAAGAGUUGAUUUAGAUUUUUACAAUUUAUUUGAUUUCUAUUUUAUUUCAUUUUUAGGCAAAUCAAAGAGGAUUAUACAUUAAUUAAACUGGGAGAUAUUAAUGACAAACUUCAAAAACUUUUUUAUCUAAAUCCUAGCUCAAUUUUAUCAAUAAAUUUAAAUUAAUCCAAAAAUGGAAGGGCUUAAGAUGAUAAAUGUUAGGCUUGGAGAGAAUGAGAGAUACACAAUGUGAAAACCAAUGUGGAUCAAAAGUAUAUAGCAGAUUAGUGAGGGAUAAUAUUAGUGAUUUUUUUUCAUUUUUUUUAUUAAAAUGUUUAUUUAGUAGAAUUAUCCAUUUAAUUUUCCAUAGCAGAAUUUAUAAUUCUAAACCAAUUCCAAUGAAUUGGAAAUAUAAUUACAAUAGUUUUAUAGUAAAUAUCUCAAUUUGUGAAAUAAAAUGAAUUGAUUUGUAUUACUAAUAUCAAGGUUAAUUAAAUUAAAUAUUUGUUUCCUCCAAUUUUUACUUGAUUUUUAAAUAAUUUCAUACUGGUAAGUUUUAAGAUUUAAUUUUAAAAAACAUCAAAAUUCGGAAGAAAAAAAACUUAUAUAAGUAUGGGAAUCUGUUUAAUUAUUUAAAAAAAAUAUUACAUGUUUUAAUAUGAUAAUCUAGGCAUCAAAAGAUUAAUUUAAACAACUUUGAACUAGGGUAAGAUUAUUUAUAUAGUAGAUUGUAUCAAUUAUGGAUAAAAAAUCGAACUAUUUUCUUGUGAAAUUUGUUCAAGUAUCAUUAUCAUUAUUUUAAUUUGUUUAUAUUUCCAAUAUUAGGUUUGGUGUUUAGUAGUAUUAAUUAAUAAUAUUUGUAUUAAAUUAUCUAUUUGAUAUUAGUAGUUGUUUAGACAAAACAUUAAAACAAGUUUCUUUUCAAAGUUUUAUAUUAUUUCUAUGGUAGAAAGGCAAUUUUUCAUCCGUUCAAUUUUAAUGUAAACUUUUUAGUUUUCGAAUUUUUUAUAUUAUGUGUUAUUUUCUAAUAUCAACGUGUACUAACUUUUUUGUCCUUAUUAAAUUAAUUAAAGUGUAAUAAUUUUUAGAAAGAGUUACUAGACAUAUUUUAAUUAUAUUAGUUAGCAACACAUUUAAUAAUUGUUUUAUGUUGUAUUUAUUAUGUUAAAUGAUAUUUAAAAUGUGAGGAAAGAAGUAUUAAAUUAAGAUUAAUGAAUUCUAUUACAAGGUGUUGAGAAUAGUCAGUAUAAGGUCAUUAGAAGUGUGUUUAGUACAAUGUUGUUAUUAAGGUAUUGUUUGGCAAUGUGAGCUUGCAUCUUUUUGAGGAAUCUUGUAGUUUUUUGAUCCAAUCAAUAAGUUAUGAGAAUGAUACUGUAAACUAAAAUUGAAUAGGUCUUGUAACUUUUAAAAAAUAAACUUAUAGUGUUUGGAAUUUAAUUUUUAGAAGCUACUUGAAGUAGUGUUUUAAAAAUGAAAGUUGUUUAAAAAAAUUUGUUUACCAAUUUAAUCCUUCAAAAUUUUAAAAAUUACAAUAUUUUUAUAAUAUAUAAACAAUCAAGCUUUUAUCCCUCUAAAAAAACUAUUAUUUUUAUAAUUUAUAAAUUAUUUUUACAUUAAAGUUUUAGUGAUGUAUAAACUAUUCUUACAUUUGAUUUUCAAACGAGUUUAUCAAUUAUUUUGAUAUUAUAUUAUUUUAACGAUGUAUAGUGUCAUCACUAGAAAAAUACUAUAAAAUUAUGCAACUUAAUUGUAUUUUUAGGAGAGCAAACUCUUGAAAACAACCAAAACAUAUAUUAAAGGAAAUAAAAAAAUAAAUAACUAUGUAUCGAAAUAAACUACCUAAAUAAAUAGAUAAAUAAAUAUAGUAUAUAUUCUUUAGUUAUUUUUUAAAUUUCAACCAGUUACAAAGCUAGAAUUUACUAAACACCUCUACUUUAGUAAGUUAUCUACAUAGCUAGAAGGUACAAGCUCACAACUACAAGCUAUAAACUCACAAGGAUAAGCUAGUUUUUUCAAAGACCCUAUAUCUAGAAAAGAAAAAGGAAAGAAAGCAAGAUUAGGUUAUAGAAUUUAAUAUCUACUUCUGAUUUUUUUUUACACAAUCACCUUAAUAUUCAUUAUUCAUGUGUUAAUUAUUAUUUAUUUUAAAUUAAAAUUGUAUAAAUAAAAAAUUGAUAAUAUAUUGACUAUGUAAACAAAUUACACUAAUAAUACAAAAGUUUAAAAUCUAUGUACUGAGAGUGUAAUGUUUUUAAACUGUUAACAUAUCAUCCAUUAUUGUUUUGUAUAAUUUUUGUUUGAGAGUCAAAAAUGGUUAACAAAUCAAUGAUGAAUGAUUUAUUGAUAGUAUAAAGAAAAUAAUACAAAGAUAUCAAAGUUUCCUAUAUUGUUGCUUGAGGGGGAGAAUAGUGACUAGUAUUAUCAAGUUAGAGUAGUUAGUUAUUCAGAUAUAUUUUUAACAAAAAUACAAAAUCUUUUGAAAUCGUACUAUUUUCUUUGAUGAGUUUUGACAAACUUACUCAAUAAAACUUAUUUUCAUCAUUUUAUAUUAUAUGGGUUCUGAUACUUAUACUCACUUAAUUAAUUCUUAAUUAAAUUUUAGUAAUUAGAGAUUAAAUACAAUAGUAACUAUAUGGAUUUUCAUUUAUAUAGCUUACAAUAUUUUUUUUAAUUCCAGCUUAAUAGUUGAUGAUAAAAAAUUAAAAUAAAAUAAAGUAGGCUUAUUGGAAAAUAAAGUUUUCGGAAAGGUCGAGUCUUAGGUAUCACGAUCCGACUUUUAGUUGGAAGGUCGAGUCUAUAACUUAAGAAGAGAAAAGUUCGAUUUCUACCUCUUUCAAUUGAUUUAGAAUCGUUACUAUAUUUUUUACAAUUAAGACGUAGAAAACUCUAUUUUUUGUCAAAUUUGGUCUUUUGAACUUGAGUUAUGAGGACAUAACUAAUUAUGGAUCGGUACCCUUACUAAUAAUAUGAACUUUUAUAUCCUUAAAAAUUAUUUAAUAAAAAUUUUAAUCUCUAAAUCAAAAAAAUUUAUGUUUUAUAUUUGUGAAUGACAAGCGCUCAUCGUGCCUCCUACAUAUCCCUAAGUGCAAUAGGAGAAUCAAUACUACAUAGUUCUGUUUUGAAAUGGUUAAUUUGUUUUUUUGUUUCCCACAUGUAUCAUCGCACUGAAUGCAGUCUUACACGAACCGGGAACAUCCAUACGUAUGUGGGGAUAACUCUCUCAGUGUUAAGUGCCAAAUUGUGAGUAAAAUGUAUAUGAAUUUGGGGCACUUAGUGUAUAGUAAGGAUACAAAUUGGGUACAACUCCUAACAACUUAGUCUAAUUUUAUCUUGUUUAGGAAUUUACAAAUGUUUAUGUCAAUUGCAGAAUAAAAAGUAUGAAAAAGAGGAGAAAAAGUAGAAGUUUGGAGUUUUUGAACACUGCUCCCCUCGUCUGAGCCACAACCUCACCCAAGCAAGAAGAGAUUCCCUCGCCCAAGCGAGGGACUCUCGCUCAAGCGAUCGUUAAAGAGGAAAAAAUGUGACACUCUACCUAGGCCUCGCCCAAGCAAAAAGGAAGUCCCUCAUCCAAGCGAGGGACUGUCACUCAAGCAACGAAUGGAGAUGGAAAGGGCUGAUUCUCUGCAUGAUCAUAAACACCAAAUCUUGUAAAUACAUACUCAAUCUCAUUUCUAAAGAAUUGAUACAAAUCCACUUUGCUCUCUGAGGAUGAUAUCCCGAUAUUUACCAGUUAUUACUUGAACGAUACGGUUCAGUUGUUGUACGAAAAUAUUUAACAAGUUUUUGGCGCCGCUGCCGGGGAGCAAUGAGCGAUUUAUAGUAGUUCUAUAGCAAGUUUAUUGAGUAUUGUAAAUAUUUAUUUUUAAUUUUUGUAGUAUAAUUAACCUUUGUGCUAACCUUUGUUGUUGUCUGCUUAUUUAUGCUUUUGCGAGGUAAGGCUAUCGAAGAACAACUACAGUACAAUCUAGAAAUCGAGAAACCAGCCAAAAGCAACCAUAAGAAAGCAAAAGAGAAUAGGAAGCAAGAGACUCAGGAAGCACAUGGUAGCUCUAAACAAUCAAUAAAUUCAGAGCCUCAGUACGAGAAAUGGAGAAUGCCAAUGCUACUACAGGGAAUAAUGAGAGGCCUAAUCCUCCAAGGAGGACGUUGGGUGAUUAUGCAAUGUAUCAAGGUCUAAGGCACUACUAAAUCAUUAUUAUUCCACACACAGAGAGAACAGUGGAAAUUAAGCCAACAUUCCUGAAUCUGGUUAGUGCACAUCAAUUCUCUAGGAAGGAUUACGAAGAUCCUUAUGCACAUCUAGACAACUUCUUUGAACUAGUGGCAACAAUAGGUUAUACUGAUGCUGAAAGAGAAGCUGCAUACAUGAUGUUGUUCCUAUUCUCUCUGUUGGGCGAAGCUACGGAUUGGCUAAAAUCCCAUAUGUUGGCAUUUGUUCCUAUUCUCUGUGUUUCAUGAAGCUACAUACAUUUGACUAGGUUUUUUCCGCCAGCUCGUUAUGUGUAUGCCAAAUUUGAAAUAUCCACUUUUAGAUAAGGCGUAGAUGAAGCAUUUUAUGAAGCCUAUGAGUGUUUUCAUGUGCUACUGAGAAAAUGCCCCAAUCAUGCUUUUGAGGAUGUGGAUCAGCUUAAUAUAUUCUACAAUGGGUUGAAGCUUGAGACCAAAAUAAUACUAGAUGCAGUAGUUGGUGGAACAAUGAUGGUUGUGGAUGUUGAACAAGCUACAAGAAUCAUAACUGUCCUAUCUUUAACAGAUAGAUAAGCACAACACAAUCAGAAGACAAUACAGAAAAAGGGAAUGCUUAAUUUGAAUACAUCUGAUGCUAUUCUAGCACAUAAUAAAAUUUUGACUCAACAGAUAGAAGCACUUACCAAGCAAAUGUCAAAGUUACCACAACAACUCCAUGUUGUACAAUCUACUCCGAGUCCACCAGUGCUGAGAUGUGAUUUUUGUGGAGGUGAUCAUGAAAAUGGUAACUGUUCUAUGCCUAACAACAAUCUAGAGGAAAAGGUUCAAUAUGUAAAUAAUCAACCUUGUCAGGGAAACUUUCCCAACAAUUCUUCAUAUAACAAUCAGUUAUCGCAAGGUUGGAAAGAAAAUCAGAACCAGAAUUAUGGUUGGAGGCAAGAAGUAGGAUCAUCCACUAGGUAACCACCAUUUCAACCAUCAUACUAGCAGGAUCCACACCCACCAUUGCAUGAGAGACAAACAAAAUUAGAAGACACUUUGGAGAAAUUCAUGCAAGUCUCCAUCAUAAAUCAGAAGAAUACUGAUGCUUUUAUCAGAAAUCUAAAGACACAAGUGGGGCAAUUAGAAAAGAAGAUGGCAAAACAACAUUCUGACCCUAAAAUUUUUUCCGCCAAUACCCAAACCAACCCUAAGGGACACUGUAAAUCUACCACUACUAGAAGUGGGAAGGUAAUUGUUUGGGGUAUUGGUGAAAAUUUGGUGGUUGAGGAGGAAGUCAUUGAGGAAACAGAGGCUGAGAAAAGAGAUAAUGUAAUCAAAGAGACACAAAAGGGUAAACAUGUACAGGAAGAGGAUAAAAUUGCAAACACGGAGGAAUCAAUGAGGGAGAAUAAUGACAAGAGGAAGAAUGGUAUGCCUCUACUAAAGGUUCUCCCUUAUCCUACGAAACCUUCUAAAAAAGAUAAGGAAAGAUAGUACACUAGGUUCAUGGAUUUAUUCAAGAGCCUACAAAUCAACAUUCCCUUUAUGGAAGCUAUGGAACAAAUGCCAACAUAUGCAAAGUUCAUGAAGGAUUUGUUGACGAAGACAAGAAAAUUUUCAGAAGAAACAGUGACAUUGGAAGCUAGAUGUAGUGCGAUUAUUCAGAAGUCUUUACCUGAGAAGACUAAAGAUCCAGGCAGCUUUACAAUAUCGGUCACUUUAGGUGAGUUAUCUAUAGGGAAGGCACUGCUUGAUUUAGGUUCUAGUAUUAAUAUGAUGCCCUUGUCCAUGUUAAAAAGAAUUGGGGAUCUAGAGAUAAAGCCUACCAGAAUAACACUGCAACUUGCUGACAGAUCACUGAAGUACCCAUAUGGAGUUGAUGAAGAUGCUUUGGUCAAGGUGGAUAAAUUGGUAUUCCUUGUGGAUUUCAUCAUAAUGGAUAUCGAAGAGGACAAUGAAGUUCCUCUAAUUCUGGGCAUACCCUUUAUGAAGACUGCUCGGAUGAUUAUUGAUGUGGACGAUAGUAAGUUGAAAGUGAGGGUACAAGAUUAGGAAGUGAAUUUUAAUGUAUUUGAGGUAAUGCGGCAACCCAAGGACAAGCAACAUUGUUUUAGAGUGAAUGUCAUUGAAGAAGUGUACAUGCAUGAUGACAUUCACCUGAGUAGAAGUAGUCCACUGGAAAAAGCUUUGAGAGAAAAAAUGUAAGAAAGCAAUAUAGAGAAGAAAAAGAAGAUUGAGACAUGUCUGGCAGAGUUAGAGGCAUCUCGAGAGGUUGCAUCUGGUCAGAAUCACAUUGCAGAAUUAGUCAAAGAGAAGGAAAUUGAAAUUUCGAAGGUGGAGCUAAAACUGCUUCCUUCACAUCUUAAAUAUGUGUUUUUGGAAGAUGGAGGAAAUAAACCGGUCAUAAAAUCAACAACACAUUAUCAUAUGCAGAAGAAAAACAAUUGAUAGAUAUGCUAAAGAAAAAUGCAGGGGCUAUAGGUUGGACACUAUUUGAUUUGCAUGGAAUUAGUCUUUCAUACUGCAUGCACGAAAUCCAUAUGGAGCAGGACUACAAACUAGUUGCUCAACCUCAAAGUCGUCUCAAUCCUACAAUGAAAGAUGUGGUGAAGAAGGAGGUGAUGAAACUUCUGGAUGCAGGAAUGGUUUACCCAAUAUCUGAUAGUACAUGGGUGAGUCCGGUUCAAGUGGUUCCAAAGAAGGGAGGAAUGACUACGGUGAGGAAUGAAAAAAAAAUUUGAUACUUACUAGAAUAGUCAUAGGCUGGAUUAUGUGUAUUGAUUACAUGAAGUUGAACCAGGCUACCGAGAAGGAUCAUUUCCCUCUACCAUUUAUGGAUCAGAUGAUUGAAAGGCUAGUUGGACAAGUAUUCUAUUGCCUUUAAGAUGGGUAUUCAGGAUAUAAUCAUAUCACUAUGGACCCAUAUGAUAAAAAAAGAUAGUUUUCACAUGUUAUUCGGACUGUGCAAUGCACCAGUCAUAUUUCAAAGGUGCAUGUUGUAACACCGUGAAUUUUCAAUGUAUAUUGUAGUAAUUAUUUAUUUUAACAAAAAAUUAUUUUAGAAAUUAAUUAGUAAUGAUUUAUGCUAAACCUUAGUUGAGUGUUAGUCUUGUAUAUAGAAUUCCUAUUUUUUGGUAAAUUUUUGUAAUUAUCUGUGACAGAAAGUUUUUAGACUGCUGUCGGGCCCAAAUUCUCCGAAUUCAGUCCGAUAACGUGUUUUUGAGUUUCGUAUCUCGAAAUUGAAUUUCGAUUGCGCCAUUGGCUUCGAAAUAUUAUUUCGAGUCAAGAUAGACAUCAAGUUUGUCCAUGACGCAUUUCUAGAUAUUUUUCACUUUGAAUUCUAUGUUCGAAAUUCUAACCGUAAACAAAAAUCGGAAGAUUUUUAAUAUCAAAUCGAUUAUUAGCCGAUAAUACUCGGACAUGAUUUAAGCGUUAAUGUUUCAUCGAAGAGGUCACUUCACUUUCACGAGUGAACCUUGCUUGUCAAGCAAGCAAAAAUAUUCAUUUCUUACACAAAACCCCUUAAACUUAUCAUCUACCCAUCACACCAUUAUUAUUUGAAAACCUUUGAUUUGCCCUCCCUAAACAAGAUUCAUUACCUUAAAAGAGUCCCUCUCACUUGGAGAACCCUUGACAUUUCAUUUCUUUCUUUUUCAUUCGGAUUUUCUCAAGAACUCCAAGGUAAGUUCUUAGUUUCCGUUCUUCAUCUCUUAAAAUCUAACCGUUAGUUGUUUACAAAAUUUUAGUAUGAUGUUUAUACGCAUGUUACAAACGUUUUCAACCGUAGAAACUUUCUAAUAAUCUUCCUAACUCUUGUUUUACUCAAGAACUCAAAAAAUGGAUUUUCGUGAAUUUAGAAAUUGUUGUUUUGAAACCAUGAAAUCUUGUUGUUCAUGGGGUUGUUUUAGUGUUUAAAAACAUGCAUGUUGUUGAUUUUGAUGAAAUAAGAUGAUGAAAUCAAGGCUCUCUUGAUUUAGAAUGUCGUUUUGAGCAUGAGAUCAACCAUUGUAAAGAAGGUGUUGGAAUGAUCAAGAACACGAUAUGAAUCGUGAACGAGACUUUCGAGGAUAAAGGAUGGUUCAAGAAUAUGAAUCUUGGAUCGCAUGGAUGAAAGUCUCGGAUGUUCUUAAAAUAGAUUAACAUGAUGUCUUUAUCUUAAAGUAGUAGGAAAACCAUUUAACUCGCAAAUCACUAAUUGGGUUUUGUGUUUAGUUUCGAGGCGUUCGAAGUCGGACAACCUACUCAUUCACGUAAAAGAGAUCAACCGCGUUUCAAACCAAGGUGAGGGAGAAUACAUCGUGACAUAGUGGUGUCCGAAUAUGACACCCGGAUCUCCCAACUACCUCAAAAGUUGGGAGCUAUAUUUAUUUUUAUUUAGAAAUUCGUACUUAACCAAAUGAUUGUGUGCGUGGAUUAAGUAAGGAUGAUUUCUUAAGCUGUAUGCCCUAGGAUAGUUUAAAAUAUCAAGUAUUGUGUUAGUUAUCCAUUAAGGAGCACCACUCGAGAAACUAAAAUGCGUAGGGAUCGAAAACAACGGAGAUUUUCAAUCCGGUGGCCCAAACGGGCAAGGAAGUAGUCUUGGCUGCUGGACCUCCUCACCUAGGUGAGGAAUAAAUAGUAGUCCUAGUCCCCAAUGGUCACUUGGGUGAUCCAACCUCGCUUGAGCGAGUGGUUCUCGCUUGGGCGAGGGCUAGUCAGGCGUUUUGCCUAUUCUGGUCGCCCGAGUGAUAGUAUCUCACCCGGGCGAGACCCAGACGGCGGUUUUGACUAGUUUUUGGUGGAUUUUUUGCUUGAGCAAGAGCCAUGCAGGGAAUUGAGUCUGUUUUGAUGAAAUUAUCGCUUGAGCGAGAGACAUGCAAUGUUUUUUAUUGCUUAUUAUUGGUUGAUUGGUUAGCCAAUAACCCUAGCUUGGGUGAGAAUUAUAUAUAAUAAUUGGGAGAGAUCGUGGCUCGAACCAAGAACCCGAUGCCCGAAGCAACAAACUUAUAUAGUUACUUUUGUUCUUGCACCUUAUGCGGGCAAGGAUUCUGACGAUGAUGUCAUGAGCAAGGUGAUUCCUAAAAAGGAUUACAUGAUAUCAUGCAGCAAGGUCAUCUGAUCAUAAGAGGCUUGGCCAUGUGGUCGUCCAAGAUAAUUCAGCGAUGGUUCGUAGUGGUAGGAUGUUAUUUCUCUAUUACGUGAUAACGUAAGAUCGGAUCCCAUAAGAAGCAUUCAUUUGGGAGAUGUCUUAGGAUGGGCCAAUCGUUUUAAAAUAAUGAUUAAAAGAUUUAAUCGCCUAACCUCGGUUAGUGUGCAUACUCAUUACUAAUAAGGAAGUAGUGGAAAUAAAAUUUACGGGAGACAAACGAGCCCCGCGAUGUUGAGAGGGGCGGCGAUGUUGGUGAUUCGUCACCAUAGUCUUGAGGGAGAGUCUAGGUGAGACGAGUCCCUUGUAUUCCUGGAUGAGGUAUUUUGCUGGAUCGGACAGUUCUCACGGUGCAAACUAGACGAUCUCUAACAACCCAUCUUUGCAAUUAGGAUCAAUGAGAGGGAUGUCCAGAAAGUGUUUGAUACGACACCGUCUUGAAAUGGACAGUUCUUUGGAAUCGAUUGAUCAUAUAUCCUUGUAAGGAAUAAUUUUUGGUCCAUUCAAAUCGGCUUGUUAUGAGACUUGUACUCGUGGUUAUUUCCGAUUAGUAUAUUGGGAUGAUAUUAGUGUAAGGAUGGAUGAAAUAAGCUGACACGAACCUCCUUUGAGAAGGUUCUCAUUUCACGAUCGUUCUUGGAUGGUGUAUCACCUUUGGCCGAGAUUGCUUGAAACAUGGCCUAGGCUAGCUUUAUUUUUGGCCGAGACAAAUUGAGUAAAUUUAGCCAGGGGAAAUAAACUUGCUUGGAUAAAAGAAAUGGAGAAGAUAUAAAGAUGAUGGUGCCACAAACUUAAUUCCUUAACUUUUAACUCAAACAAACUUAAUUUCAUUCAGUGAAUUAGAAGUACACUUAUAGGCAAACCAUGAUGGUUCUCACGUGACUCUACCAUGAAUCAAGGCUUAUUUUUGGACUAGAUUAAUCCUAAUACAUGGCUGGUUACAUUGGAUCCCUUCCAACCAUGUUUAACACGAAAUAAUGCUAGUAAAUAUCCCACAUGGGAAUUCCUAAGUAAUUAAAUUACAAAAUGCAAAAUACUUUGAAUUUCCAUGAAGAAGUGAUGCACUUUAGUCUAGGACUCCUUGAGAAUUCGGCCAUCAUUGAAUGCAUAUGGUCCGCACGAGUUAAGGAGGCAAUUUGGACUCUGAAUUGUGCAUGUAACUUGGUUUGAUGCUGUGAACACCCAAAUUUGUCCUACAUUUACUUUUUAUUUUUAGCAUAAAAAAUAUAACACCAUUUCUAUACCCACCAGAGCAUUGGGAUAAUCAAGUUGCAGAUUAAUAUUAUUGAUAUGAGUCAUAGGCGGGUAAUGCUAAAAAAAAUCAAUUAUGUCUUCUAAAGUAAUUUACAUACAACCAGUACCCUCACAGUGGUUAUCCACUCUAGGAUGAUUAGUACAUUCAUAAGUCUCACAACACAAGGAACCUAAGCCACUUCGAUAUAGUGCAUUGACGCUAUUGCUAUGGCUAUUAAACAAUUCCAGCACCUGAUUCUCGCAGCUAAAAAAGAGGAUGGCAGUAAUAUUGUUUAUAUCAAAAGAGGAUGCCACAUUAAAAUGCUAAAACAUGGACAAGAGUUCCCAUCCCAUACUGGGUUACAUUUUCUAAAUAUUUCUCUAUGAGCAAGAAUAAAUAAUACUAAGAAACUUCAAAAGGUUCAACGCAUGAAUAUUACAUCAUUUUGUUCUUUUCCCACCAUAAGGCUACAAAUGCAAACUUAAGAUUGAAGGAAACCGCAUCCAGAUUCUAAUGAAGGGGAGUCACUUCAGCCUCGCAACCACAAGCGAAUCACGAACAAUUGAUCAAUACUGGACGUACAAGUUAUCUUCUAUGGCCAACUUCCAACUGCAAAAAAAAGGGGGAAAAAGAAAAGCAUAUGCACAAAACAAUAGAACAACACUAACAAGCUCAAAGCAGUUAAAUUAUGUUGAGGAUGAAACAAAUACACAAUCUGAUCCAGCUAUCCAAUAAUUCCCAAAUACGGUUAAGGGUCGUAAGUGCAUACCUACAACAAGCACUUAUAACUUUGUCAUCCUUAUGCUGAUACAGGAAUGUUGAGGAUCACUUGAAUAAACUCACUGCUCCAGAAUCUGCAUACGUUAUGGGACCUUAUUCAUUAAUAAAAAUGAUUAGUAAAACGUACAAAGAAUAAGAAAUGUUAAAUCAAUGAAUGAAGAGAACAAUCAGGAAGAAAUUCAAAGAGGCACAAUUAAAGUGUCAUUGGCAGCAAAAACACAUGGUAAAUAGCAGAGACAUCAAAGAAUGGAAUAUUCAGUUACAAACAGCCAUAAAUAAGGCAAUUAUUGAGCAAUUGAAACAGUGGUAAGCUGCCUGAGACCAACUCAGCAGACCCAGGAAUAUGUCAUCAGUUACGUGUGCAUUUAAUCCGCAUGAAUGAGUCAGUUUCUAAACACAAAAGUCAGUAUUAGUCCUGACUCUCAAUAGGCAACCCAGGAGACCCAGAAGGUUGGCUAUAAAAGGCAUACUAUGUCAUAAGCAGAACACACAGAGGUCCUACCAAAAAUAUUCAUAAGCUAUCUACCAUAAACACACAUAAGAAGAAAAAUAAAGAACGGAGAAAAUACUUGAGUAUUCAUAUUAACAUACCACACACCACAACACAGAGAAGUAAUCAGAGGUAACAACACAGCCAUAAGAAAAUCAGAGAGAAGACAAGAAAACCAGAAAAACAUACAUUGCAACGGG
Molecule: long non-coding RNA, 84746 nt
Filed under: Lupinus angustifolius (narrow-leaved blue lupine)
Lineage: Eukaryota; Viridiplantae; Streptophyta; Magnoliopsida; Fabales; Fabaceae
Description: long non-coding RNA (LANG_LNC002962)
Source: RNAcentral